This 57045-nucleotide long non-coding RNA is filed under the name Lotus japonicus. Its description in RNAcentral is "long non-coding RNA (LJAP_LNC001947)". Lineage: Eukaryota; Viridiplantae; Streptophyta; Magnoliopsida; Fabales; Fabaceae. The record is from RNAcentral.
CACCUGAAACACCAAGGUCAUAUCCAAAGAGAGAGCCACCAAGAGCUCCAACAAUGCAGGAAAAGAUGAAGUACCCAGUUAUUUUGUACUCAUAAAGAUGAGCCCUUUUUUGAGAUGCUGCAUCAACAAAUGCUCCCCCUGCCAUGUUGCUGCACUUAUUCUUUUGUCUCCCUUAUUAUUUUGUAUUAGCCAGUUUGGAGAGACAAGAGAAUAGUGGUAAUGAUACCCCUUUGCAAAUGGUUUAUAUAGACUCAACAAUUCAACGAUGGCACUCAUCACAGUUAACAACAUAUCCACUUUUAACCAAAAACACCCUAAAAAACUAAUGGUAAAAAAGAGAUAAAAUGAGGAAACGAUUGGUUAUUAUUUUAGCAUGAAAAGCUUUACUGUCGAGUUAUAUAUAUCCCUAUUUGGUAGGAAAAAGGGAAGACCGAGUGUGAUCACAAAUUGUGUAAAUGGAGUGAAGAGGAUGAUAAUUUCAAUGAAUAAAAAUAGCCAUCAACAAAUUUCUUCCACCAUUCAAAUACAAAGACACAACUUGUCAUGUUGAUGUUAACAACCAUUGACACAUGAAACUUUCCCUAUUUGGCAGCAUUCUUAUCCAAAUAAGCUCUAGUUAACAUGUUUGUAGUGGAGAAUUAAUGUUAAAAUAUAAUUUUAACACAAACUUAAUAUACAAUUGUGAUUAUCCAAUACUGAAAUACCGAACCAUCAACAUUCUUGCUUAUAAAAAAAACGAACCAUCAACAUUGAACUUAACACAAUUGUCUUCAAAAGUUAUGUCACCCUUUCUCAAUGUUCAAUCUUCUUUUAACCAACUACCUAACUAGAUUCACCUUAAAACUAUUAGUUGACAAGUCAUGAAUCAUUAUCCAUUAGAUUUUCAUAGAAAAUAAAUUUACUCACUUACAUAUCAUGAUUCUAAAAAAAAAGUCAUUCCUCCACAAAUAAUUUCAGCAAAAAACUUCGAUCAACAUGGAUUCUGAUACGAAAGUCUAGCCCCCCUUCGAGUUACUCCAUACUCAGAUCAUUUUUUUUUGUGGGGUGGGGGGUGUUUGUCCCAUUUCAAUAGUAUGUUUGUAAAACACAUAAUUAUGGUGGAAAUUAAUUAACACAAUUUUGAAUUAAAAAAAAUACAAGAGUAUCUCUUCAUCACUUACCCACUUUUUUUUUUCAGAUACAAUUAUGGUAGAAUGAGAAUAUUAGGCUAGUAUUCUAUAAGGCCCAGGAGAACUAAUAAUUAGAUUAUUAUCUUAUUUCAUUUUAAAGUAUGCUAAGAGAUAGGGCCCAACCCAUUUGACUCUUAGUUAUGGGUGUUAGUAUAAAUAUGUAAUUCCUUUCAUGAAUGAUAACAAGAAAGUUGGUAAAAGUUUCAUUUUACUUUUUUUCUCAUAAUUUUCUUGCUUAGUUUUUGCUUGUUAGAGUUUCUUUCUACCACAUUCACACUAUUUAUAACUUUUUUUUUUCAUAUUAUAUCAUAUUUCACUUUAAUUAUUUAAUUCUAUUCUUUUUUAUUUCUCAUCUAUCUUAUUUAAAGUGUUUGAUGUCAACCUGGGCGACCGUCCCUGAGAGGCAAAUUUCUAUGAUAAAAUAAUAUUCAAAAUGUUGUUUUUUCCCAUUAAAACUUCAUAUCUCUUUUAAUUUAAGACUUUAAUUUUGUUUAACUAGUUGAAUUACCUGUGCAAUGCACGGGUGACUUUUGUUAUAUCUAAAAUUUAUUUAAUACUAUAGUUUUUAACUUUUUACAAUUUUUAAUUGCAUAAAUAUAUAAAUAUUUGUUAGAUUUUUGUGUGUGUUAAAAUGCUCUCACAAUUUUAAGUCGAGUGUAGUGGAGAUCAAAAGUCUAUUUAAAAGUAUGACUCUUAAUGAUUGAACUUUCCAUCUAUACGUUCAAACAACCACCCGAUUAGAAUAAAUUUUCGCCCCUUAUUCAUUUCUAGUUUCGUCCCUAAUUGACAUUGAGUGGUUGCAAUUAAAAAUACAUGCAAACUUAAGCCAUAAAAAUGGAAUAAUGUAAGAGUGUAACACUUUUUUUUUUUGCCUUAUGGUGGUGAUGCAUUCAUUCAUCCCGACAAUGUGUUACCAAUUUCUCUCACUCAAUCCGAUUACCCUCGAAUCAUUCUGUCUCAUCAUAGGCGUAUUUCUUUGCAAAAUUGUGCUCAAUUUCAUAAUAAUGUAAGAGUGUAACACUUUUUUUUUUUGCCUUAUGGUGGUGAUGCAUUCAUUCAUCCCGACAAUGUGUUACCAAUUUCUCUCACUCAAUCCGAUUACCCUCGAAUCAUUCUGUCUCAUCAUAGGCGUAUUUCUUUGCAAAAUUGUGCUCAAUUUCAUAUGUGGCAAUUCCGCCAAGAUUUUAGUAUUGCCAAUACAAUCUUGUCCAGUAACCCGCUAGAACAAUGAAGCUAGUGUCCUCAUGAAUCCGUGGAACCCAAUAUAAGAUCCCGUUUGAGGAUCAUCGGCAUUAUGAGUGGAUGUAUCAUUCUGGUUGAAAGCCGCCCAUCCAUUAAUUUCAAUAAAAUAGGUGUUUGUUUAAAAAAAUUCAUAAUUUUUUUUAUAAAAAGACAAUUCUUUAUUCUGGAAAUAGUGAAGAAAAGAUGAAGAUAAUGAUGAAUAUGGUUGUAGGAGGAGGAAGAGUGGUGGUUGAAGGUGGAGGGAUCAGAACUACAACAAACCAAACCUUAUUUAAUUAAAAAAUUAGUAUUUUUUAAUUAAAAUAUUAUUAAGAAAUGCCACGUCAGUUUUCCGUUAAAUUUUGGAUGGAAUCUAGACGGAAAACUAAAGUUACAAACGGAGGUAUUCGUCAGGGAUGCUUUAUGCAAUUAAUUAUUUAAUUUUUGUGGGGGACUGGAAUCAUGAAAAAGGUAUAAGUGGGGGGACUAAAUGUGCAAUUAAGCCUUUAUUUUAAUAUGAAGAUAAGAGUCUCUAAAUCCAGGUUUGGGAAUAUGAAGUUACCUUUUCUCACUCUCACUCACUGUCUUCUUCCUUUUAUUACCCUAUUACCAGUGUUUGCUUGUGUUGUAUUCUAUUCGAUUCGAUUCUUGUGCUUCUGCUCGUUCUCCUCAUCCACAACAAAACCAAACCAAACCAACACCUUCUUCACUCCCACCACCGAUUUCCCUCACACAAACACCGCCACAAUCACCAGAGGACGACGACGGUGCAAGAGAGUGAGAGUGUUUGAUUGAUUCCAAUCCAUAUCCAUGGCUUGUUCAAUUCGACCCACUCUCACUUCCUUUAGGUUUUCUUCAACUCGCUCCCUCUUCAACCCCUCUCCCUCACUCUCUUUCCUCCAUCUAUCCUCUGGUAACUCCUCUUAUUAUCCUUAUCUUCAAUUUCUCAAUAAUUCUUGGUUAAUAUAUCUAUUUUAAUGCUGAUAACUCAACAAUACUGCAUAAUUUUGAUGAUUUCAAUUUGUUUUGUUAUCCAGCAGUUCCACAAUCUCAUAGUUUUGGCCUGAAAGCAACCAGGCUGGUGAGACAAGAUGGAAACUCAGUGAGAGCCAUGGCGUCGCAGUCGGUUGCGGCGGCUGCUUCGCAAGAGAAUGUGCUGGAUUGGGUCAAACAGGACAAGCGGAGGAUGCUUCAUGUUGUGUACAGAGUUGGGGACCUGGACAGGACUAUAAAGUAGUACACCAUUGAUUCAAAUUCAAAUUCAUUGAAAAAACAAACUAGUAGCUUUUUGUGGAGUGUGUAUUUUUUACUCUUGGUGGUUUCAGAUUUUAUACAGAAUGCUUGGGAAUGAAGUUACUAAGGAAGCGUGACAUACCGGAGGAAAGAUAUACUAAUGCCUUUCUCGGAUACGGGCCUGAGGACUCUCAUUUUGUUGUUGAACUUACAUACAGUAAGGCUCUCACUAUGUGCCUGUUUGGAUACAAUUACAAACUUAUUGGAGCUUAUCUACUUGAAAAACACACUAGAUAAGCUCCAACAAGUGCUAUUUAGUUUGCAUCCAAACGGAUUCUAUGUACAUUAUGAAGUAAGUUAUAUACAUGCUAGUGCACAGAAAGCUUUCGAUUAAUGUUCAUCUUUCAUUUAACAACAUUACAGACUAUGGAGUUGACAAGUAUGAUAUUGGAGCUGGAUUUGGUCAUUUUGGUAUUGCUGUUGAUGAUGUAAGUUUUUUCUCCAAACAUUAGUACCUAUUACUAUGACACUAUCCUUUAUUAGCUUCUUUGAACUCUCAUACCGUGGUCAUUCCAAUCUCAUGUGACUUGUCCAGUUGUAUAUUCAUUAUUCUCUUUGGGAGGGUUGUGGGGUGGAGGUGCUGUUUUGCUUAUUGCUUAUUCUCUAUUGGUCGUUUGACAAACAUGUAUGCUGGAAUUUUUUUGUCUAUAUGAUCCUUUUUAGAUUGCAAAAACAGUGGAGCUAAUAAGAGCCAAGGGUGGCAAAAUAACUAGAGAGCCUGGUCCUGUUAAGGGAGGCAAAACAGUGAUUGCAUUUAUUGAAGACCCUGAUGGUUACAAAUUCGAACUUUUGGAAAGAGGCCCUACUCCUGAGCCAUUGUGCCAAGUAAUGCUUCGAGUCGGAGAUCUUAACCGUUCCAUAGAAUUUUAUGAGAAGGUGAGGGUCAAUGCUAUUUUGUGUUGUUCCAACUUCAAAGUUUUUCCCUUCACACAACAUCUAAACAUUUAUGGUUGUUUACCAUUUAGGCUUUUGGGAUGGAGCUGCUUCGCACACGAGAUAAUCCAGAGUACAAGGUAUGGUGACUUCUCUUAUGUUCUUUACUUUUUGUCUGAAAUAUUUGUAAUUAACAUGCCUACUACUCAAUGGUUAAGAUGAGUUAAAUUCAGGUUUAUAAGAGAUUGUGUAAUUUUGAUGCCUACACUUUCUUUCUGAUGCAAAUCCUGGUACAAUUAAGCUUUAGGAUAGGAGGUUGGAUCCUUUUCUAAUCAAUCCUCUAAGAUUUGAUGAUACUUUGCAUGGAUUGGGCUAUACUGCGAUGUAUACUUGUUUUGAAUAUAUGCAUGCUGGAUUUCUUUAUCAGUUUUAGGUCCCAUCUUGCUUGUUUUGAUGGACCAAAACUGUUUCCCAGCACCUUAUUUGAUACUUUAGGCACGUGCUUACUACCUUAAUUUCACUGAUGAUCCUCUGAUGACCUUUUUCUUGGGCAGUAUACUAUAGCAAUGCUCGGUUAUGGUCCUGAAGAUAAAAGUACUGUUCUAGAGUUGACUUACAAUUAUGGAGUCACUGAAUACGAUAAAGGAAAUGCUUAUGCUCAGGUAAGCAGAAGUUCCUCUCUUCUCCAAUUCUUCAAUUUUAUGGAGUCUGCUGAAGAGGUUUUCAUUGCUGCAUUUUUUAUAUCAUAUUUUAUUUUCUGUAUUAAUGGAGAGUGGAGACUGCUGUAGUUCUCAUUUUCUAUUGAAAUUUUUUACUCUAUUUUUAUGUCCACAGUUCCAUGCCUCUCUAUUUGGAACAUAAUUUCAUUAAUUAUCUUUUCUUCCACCUUUUACAGAUUGCAAUUGGCACAGAUGAUGUGUACAAAACUGCGGAAGCAAUUAAACUAGCCGGGGGGAAGAUUACUCGGGAACCUGGACCAUUACCUGGUAUCAGCACAAAAAUUACUGCAUGCUUGGAUCCUGAUGGUUGGAAGUCGGUAUGUCUCUUUCAACUUUAUAUUUAAUGUGUCAAAGACCAAUCUUCCAAAAGUUUAAGCUAGAUAUCGAAGGCUCGGGAAUAUCUAAGACAUUACUGCAUGCAAGAGCUUGUUGGGUUUAAAGCUUAGUUUAUGCAUAACUCAUUUUCGUUGUGUUAAAUUCAACUUUUAUAUAAAAGAAUGGGGAUGACAGAGAUCAAAUUAUUAAUCACUUGGCAAUAGAGGCUUUGAUACCAUAUUCUGUAAAAUCAGGACUGAAUUAAAUUGAUUUCAUUGCAAUAGUACUGAAUAAUAAUAUAUUAUACGAAAUAUAGUAUCACAGGAGAGGAAAUGAAGUAUCUCUAUUCUAUCCUAGAAUCCCUCAAUUCAUGGGAUCUUUCCUAAUCACAAUAAUCUGUACAGAUUACAGAUCAUUACACAAAUUUCCUGAAAUGUUUUUUCCUAAAAAUAUUACACAGUUCUCACACGCUCCCUUUUGCUGGUGAAUAGGUGUUUUCUAUUCCCAGAUUGGAUACAAUCUUCACAAAAUUAAGUUUCAACUUACAUGUGCAUCAAAUGGCUCUUGUGCAAAGUUGUGUUAGAUAUUAAAUCAUUUACCCAAUAAAUUAAGCUUUAGGAAUAGUUAUUUCAUGACAGGUACCAUGUACAGGAGCAAAUAUGCCAAAAGUUCACUAAUGAUUUUAUAUAUAACUCCUUGAAGAUCAUAGUUUUCUUUCAUCAUUUUGACAUGAAAAGCUUAUUAUGGUACCAUAUAAUGGUAUUCACACUAAUUAAAGUAGUAAUACUUUUAAGAUGGGAAAAAAUAUCACGGUAUCAAUAUUGGUAUUGUGUACUGUUGUCCAACCACUCAGUCACUGAGUCAAAAUUCAUCCAGGAUGAUCACCUAAAUUUUUGCAAGUGAUCAUACUUUCAAUUCAAAUUUCAGUCUCUUAACAGUUUAUUAUCUGGGAAGGGGGUAUAAACAAGCCUAGAUAAAAUGAUAAAUUGAUUAUUUUCAUAUUAAGGCCUGCAUUUUUCAUCAUUUGUUUAUUUCUUAUUUAGUACUUUCAUUUGUAUGUUGUAGAGUCUUCACAUUGUUAUUCAUUUUUACUAGUAAUCCUGCUUUUGUGACUAACUAGUUUUUCCCACCUCUAAUGCGCAGGUUUUUGUAGAUAAUGUUGAUUUUGUUAAGGAGUUGGAGUAGAGUAUUUAGGUAGAUCAUCAUAGCAAUCUUGUGAGAUUGACACCUCUGUGGCUAAGAAUUGGUGUUUGAAGAAAAAUGUUUUGCAUUAGAGAAUGUAUCAUCAUAUUCAAGUUCGAUUUUGUAGAUAAUGUAAUAAUGAUUGUAGCAAUGACUCUUGUAGCAAAUGUCUUUAACUAUAUACCAUGAAGCAAGCUUGAGAAACACAUCUUUUAUACCCUUCGUGAGUUCCUCAGGAGGACAAACUUUUGUGGUUGCUCACUCUGAAUGUUUCAGGAGCGUAUCACAGUUACCUAUUGAAAAAUGAAAAUAAUGUUUUUUAAUAGAAAUCACAUGAUCCUUUCUUUCUUCCGAAAUGUUUCGUGAUAAUUCUUAAGUGAGUAACUUCGUAUGGCUUGAAGUUUUUCUGUGACAAAUUGACAAUGUCCUCGUGAGAUGCUUGAAUAAUCAAUCAGGAUGUGAUUGGCAUAUUGACAAUAAAAAGGAGGGGAUUGAUAUGGAGGAUAGUGGUGAAAGUUGAAAGAAUAACUUGGAUCUGCAACCCUGUUUUUCAACUAAUAAGUUUGUCUUCCCUAAAAUUCCCACCCGACGUUAUUUGCAGUCUGCCCGCCUCAUGCUUAAAAGAUAAAUUGUCCAAAAUAGUUACUUCUCCCGGGUUAACAACCGCUCCUUAUACCGGAUAUUUCACGCCCUCCAAAUCCACCAAACAAGUGAAAAAUUCCUUACACGCUCCGGAUCCAAUCAAACUAUAAACCAGGUUCGUCACAUUUUCUAAAAUGGGUUAAUCUUUUUUAAGAUGACACCCUAUACCUUAAGAGCUCCUUUAGUACGCCGUAUUAGGUAUGAUAGUAUAAACUUAUACAAUACAUUAUGGAUUUAUCCAUUGUUUGGUGCUCACAUUGUAUUGUAUAAGCUUAUACAUCAAUCUCCUCUUAUACAUUAAAAUGAUGGAUUAUUUAAUCCACUCUAUAAAUGAUGGAUAAGACAUGAUAAAAAAACAAUGUAUAAACUACUCAAUAUAUUUUAAUCAACCGCCACCACAAUCACCCUCCANNNNNNNNNNNNNNNNNNNNNNNNNNNNNNNNNNNNNNNNNNNNNNNNNNNNNNNNNNNNNNNNNNNNNNNNNNNNNNNNNNNNNNNNNNNNNNNNNNNNNNNNNNNNNNNNNNNNNNNNNNNNNNNNNNNNNNNNNNNNNNNNNNNNNNNNNNNNNNNNNNNNNNNNNNNNNNNNNNNNNNNNNNNNNNNNNNNNNNNNNNNNNNNNNNNNNNNNNNNNNNNNNNNNNNNNNNNNNNNNNNNNNNNNNNNNNNNNNNNNNNNNNNNNNNNNNNNNNNNNNNNNNNNNNNNNNNNNNNNNNNNNNNNNNNNNNNNNNNNNNNNNNNNNNNNNNNNNNNNNNNNNNNNNNNNNNNNNNNNNNNNNNNNNNNNNNNNNNNNNNNNNNNNNNNNNNNNNNNNNNNNNNNNNNNNNNNNNNNNNNNNNNNNNNNNNNNNNNNNNNNNNNNNNNNNNNNNNNNNNNNNNNNNNNNNNNNNNNNNNNNNNNNNNNNNNNNNNNNNNNNNNNNNNNNNNNNNNNNNNNNNNNNNNNNNNNNNNNNNNNNNNNNNNNNNNNNNNNNNNNNNNNNNNNNNNNNNNNNNNNNNNNNNNNNNNNNNNNNNNNNNNNNNNNNNNNNNNNNNNNNNNNNNNNNNNNNNNNNNNNNNNNNNNNNNNNNNNNNNNNNNNNNNNNNNNNNNNNNNNNNNNNNNNNNNNNNNNNNNNNNNNNNNNNNNNNNNNNNNNNNNNNNNNNNNNNNNNNNNNNNNNNNNNNNNNNNNNNNNNNNNNNNNNNNNNNNNNNNNNNNNNNNNNNNNNNNNNNNNNNNNNNNNNNNNNNNNNNNNNNNNNNNNNNNNNNNNNNNNNNNNNNNNNNNNNNNNNNNNNNNNNNNNNNNNNNNNNNNNNNNNNNNNNNNNNNNNNNNNNNNNNNNNNNNNNNNNNNNNNNNNNNNNNNNNNNNNNNNNNNNNNNNNNNNNNNNNNNNNNNNNNNNNNNNNNNNNNNNNNNNNNNNNNNNNNNNNNNNNNCACUACCACCACCACUGCCACCGCCACCACCAUCCACCAUCAUUGCCACCAUCAUCACCUUCCAAUUCCACCACUACCACACCACCUAUGUCGCCACCAAAUUAUACAGUGUAUGAUCAAACGCUAUAUAGUAUUAAAAUUUUAUCAGACCUUAUCAUAUCAGGCCUCAUACAAUCAGACCUUAUACUAUUAGGCCUUAUACUAUAAAGUGUACCAAACAUGCCCUAAAAUAAGUUUAUAUUCAUCAUUAAAUUUGUAAAAUAGGUAAAUUAGAAAUUUAAAAUCCUUAUUUUGUAAAGGCAAUAUUUCUUAGAAGAUAAUAUUAUGAAAGUAAAUAAAACAAGAAAUAAGUAAACCAAUGUUUGCAGAACCGGUCGAGGUAUUGGUUUAAGGUUUAAAAGUUCAACCGCGGUUAAACCGUACCUAAUUAAAUAACUAUAUUUUACCACUUUAAAGUGUUACUAAAUUCACCUAAACAUUUUUUUAUAUACAUAAUAACAAACUAGUUUCAUUUUAAUAUAAUUGAGUGAUGAUGGGCUUGAUGGGCAGCCCAGAACAUAUUAAACCCUAAUAUUACCACCUUCAGGCACUUUACCUAAGAAAAUAUUAAUAACGCAGCAAACGUGAAAAAUAAAAGAAGAGGAGCAGUCUUGCAAGGUGAAACCCACCUCCCACUCUUCAUCUCCUUCUUGCAUACGAGCCGAACCGGCGACACCAGCGGCAAGUGAGUAGUAACUAUAGACUGCGAGGAGGUGGUGGCGGCACCAGCACAACGUCCGUUUUGCCCCGGCGAUUGACCCUUGAGGGUUUGAGUUCAGAGUCUUCAAUCAAUGGGAAAGGGUGGUGAUGAUGACGAAACCCAGAAGCACAACAACAACAACAAAAAGCGCAAACUAGUUUUCCCUUACGGCAACUACAAGACUUACUACGGCUAUCGAGUAUGUAUUCAAUCUUCUUCCCAAUGAGCUAGUGUUUUGCUGUGUGAUUGAUGUUUUAUCAAUUUGAUUAUGUUUCAGCUUGCUCAAGGCAUGGAUGAAGAUCCUCGCUUGAAAGUGUUGAGGAAAGAGUGGUUUCAAGGCAAAGACUGUCUUGAUAUUGGCUGCAACAAUGGGUUAAUCACCAUCCAGAUUGCUCACAAGUUUCACUGCCGGACCAUUCUUGGAAUUGACAUUGACUCUGAUCGAGUUCAGGAUGCAUAUUGGAAUCUGAGAAAAACAGCUAGAUCCAAAUCUGCCCCUGCGAAAGCCUCCAAACUUGAGGACAAGGACCAUUCAGAGAACAAUGUUGCGGUGGUGUCUAAUGCCGAUACAGAUGAGACUUCAAAAGAACCAUCUUCUUCGGAGCAAAUUGAUCUGAUGGAUAUAGUUUCAUUUAAACGAGAGAAUUUUGUUCAGAGUUGGCACCCACCCGGAAAGCACUAUGAUACAAUUCUUUGGUAACUUGUUGUUGGUUUGUUUUAACUAAAUAAAACUUUGUAAGGGAGGAAGGUAGAAAUUUGCCAGUCCCUGUGUCUUUUAGGAUGCUAACAGUCCUGUUUAAAAUUGUGUCUUUGAAAUUUCUUUUUGAGGUCCUUUCCAGCCUUUUUUUGGGUUGACUUCUACAUGAUAGUUACUAUCUGAAUGGAUUACCUUCAUGUUAUAGUUUUGUAUGUUUUGGUGCCCAGAAUUAUAUAAAUUUGCCCUCUCCAGCUUGAGUGCACUUGCCUUCAUAUUUGCCAAGCCUUUGCUUCAUUUUCAUUUAUUUGCUUGACAUGUCCUCUCUGCUAUGGAAUUCAUAUUAUUUGAAUUUGAUUAUUUAAAUUAAUAUCCAAUGCAUCUGUGAGAAAAUAAAUUACCUUUUGACAUGCAGUUUGAGUGUCUCAAAAUGGAUACAUCUAAAUUGGGGGGAUGACGGUUUAAUUACAUUAUUUUCAGAGACUUGGAAGCUGCUCAAACCUGUAAGUAUCAUCUCCUUCCAUCUACUCUUUGAAGUUUUAAUUGCUUAUAUAAAAAGUGUUGUUGGACAAAGAAAAAGGCAUGAUAUAUGGGACCUAUCUAGCUAUAGGAAGUGGUUUAUAUGGUGAAUUAAGAAUUAGACUAAAAUUCAUGGCCGCAUAUGUUCUAUUCUAAACAGCCCACAACCAUCGCCUUCUAUUCUAUUUAUCUCGGUAAUCAUGGAUGCUUUCUUCUGCACUCUUUCUCAAGGCCCCAUGUCUCCACUCUAUUCCAAUGCCUUUUUUCUGUUCUUCUAUCUGUUCCGGCUAUGAUUCAUUUCUUAACUUGACUGAUUAGUAGUGCACAUGUUCUCUGGUAAACCACGCACGAACAUCCCUACAUUUCUUUAAAUCUAUUAUGUUGUAUAUGUAAAACCUUUUAUCUUCUGAGCAGGGUGGCAUUUUUGUGUUGGAACCUCAGCCAUGGAAUUCAUAUGUAAGCAAUCGUGAUGUCUCUGAGGUAACAAUUAGCUUGCCUUUUGUGACUAUCAAUCUUAUAUUUCAAAGAGUUCUGAGAAGGGGAAACCUAGCUAACUUAUUAAAUUUACUCUAGAAAUUUCUUGGAAAUCUAUGCUGUUUAGGGUUUUGCUUGUGAAUAAAGCAAAUCUUAGCUUAAAUGGAUAGACGUCCUUCUGUUUUUUCUUCUUCCAUAGUUCUAUUUUAUGUUCGGGGAACAACUAAUGCAUUAGUGCAUUUUCAAAUUGCAAAUGUUUGAAUUUUUUGUUAUGCUUUUAAGUUUCCUUACCCCUAGCCAGAUAUCACUUGCUAAAUAUAAGAAAUGGGGUUAUCAAAUCAUCAAUUUUUUUUUUCAUUAUGCAGACCACCAUUGCCAUGCAAAUGUAUGAAUUUUUGGUUAUGCUUUUAAGUUUCCUUACCCCUAGCCAGAUAUCACUUGCUAAAUAUAAGAAAUGGGGUUAUCAAAUCAUCAAUUUUUUUUUUCAUUAUGCAGACCACCAUUGCCAACUUCGGCAAUAUUAUGUUUCGUCCAGAACAGUUUCAGGAAAUACUGCUAGAUAAGGUUUGUAUCAAGUAUUUGUUUGGAAUGUUGCUUUCCGUAUUUCAAGUUUGCUCAACUAGCAAUAAACAAGCAUUUCUUCUUCUUUGCCUAUUUAUUACACUCUUAUUCAGAUUCUAACAGGCAAUAUUUAACUCAUUGUAGAUUGGAUUUAGAACAGUAGAAGAUAUCACUUCAGGGUUGACUGGUACCAAGGCUGGUUUCAAUAGGCCAAUUUUGGUUUUUCAGAAAUGAUACAUGUAGUAAGUCAGCUGCAUAGUCAAAGUUAUUUAAUAUGGAGUCAUUCUUCCCCAUAGAGAAGCGUCUGUUACAUUUUUUGAAGUCGGUAAUGGUUACUUGCGAUGAAGCUAAUGUUCAUAUGUGUAUGUUUUUGUCCAUUGUGAAUGAUGGCAGUGAAGCAAAUUUUUUGUUGAUAGGGGCUUGAAUGUAGAGAAUGGAAAUACAAACUUGUAUGUCUUUUGUGUAUUUUGCCACUAGUAUGUCAAUUUGAUUCUCUCAUUAUCAGUAAAAUCAAAGAAAAGGAAGUAAUGAAUGUCUUUUUAAGUUCAGAUUAAGAAGAAAAAAUAAGAAAUGCAAAUUCAUACCAACAUAUUGAUAAUUUCUCACCGUUUUUUAACCACAUCAUUUGAGAUAAGGAUAUCAUCUAAGUUCUAUCUAAUACAUACUAAAAUAACUACCAACAUCAAGAAGCAAAUAUACACGGAUCUGACCAAGUUUUGAGCAAUUUUGACACAUAUUUCAGACAAUCACACUCAAUUAGUAAAAGCUGGUAGUAUGAUCUAUUAUUGCUGCAGAAUGACUGAAAAUGUUCCAAAUUGAUAUAUUAAGAGGUUACCCACAAGCGCCUCCAAGGCCCUACUAGAGUAUAUAGAUUAGUUGAACAAGUGGUUUUUGUUUUAGAAACAACUGGUUCUACUGCUGCUGCAGACGUUGAGUUUGAAGAGUCCAAGUUGCCUUGACUUGAUUUCUACACUCAAGAUCAUCUUCAAGCUCAUCAGAUUCUCUAGAUGUAUCACUCCGAAUUUCUCAAGUCAUCCGUGCUAUAUGUUGUGCUCGCUUUCCCUUCCUAUCAUCAUUUGCUCCUAAUACAACCACUUUAUCUUAUUGAUACUUUUCUGCUUGCCCAUUGCCACUUUGCCAGAAAUAAUUAACUCUGAAUUUGCUUUCUCUCCCAAGUUAGUUUAGGCUGGUGGAAGGUUGAACCCCUCCAGGAUAGACAAAGUUAGGUAUCUUACAACGUUUUACAUGGGAGACCUUGAUAUCCAUUCCAGGUUUCCGUAGAGUGUACAUGUUGAUAGUGUGCUUAAAUUUUUCAAUAGCUAAUCUUAUAUCAAAUUGUUCACCUUCAUUGAAAGGACCCUGCUUCCGUUGCAGACCCAUGAAGUAAUAGCAGUGUAAAGGUCUUGAUUUGUCAGAAAAGUCACCAGGAUGUGGAUGACAUUGAAGCAUGACAGAAGUGUGCUUCUCAAUCUAGAUGUUUAACAGACAAUGAAGUUAGGUUAUUUAUAUCUAAAGAUCAUAAAUAGAAGCAGAGGUGAGAAAGAAAAUAAGGAAACAACAAACAAUAUGUGCAUGUUUGGAUACACGAUGAAAAAUCACGGUGAGUCACAACUUCCUUUGAUUAAAAAUCAUGGUGAUUCAUGAUAGUUUUUCACUGUGUAUCUAAACAUACCCUAACAACACAAACCUUCAAUGUCAACAUGCGCAGACGAGACUUAACCAAACCAUUCCAUUCUCUAAGAUCAUCCACAUUUUCUGCAGAAAUAACUAUCUGCAAAUAAUUCUUAUAAGCUUCAGAAAAGGGAUAAGACUCAAAAAGAGUAUCCCAAUCAGCCUUGCUAGCCUCCAUAGCCUAAAAAUAUCAGAAACAUCACAUUAAGCAAUCUUAAUAACAAGUAUAAUUAUAAAUUAAAUCAUUAUUAAUUAAGUAUUGGCCAACCUUUACAGAAAACACAACAAACAUGCUAGUAUAUUUCUGGAAUCGUAGCUCAAACAUGCACAAAAUAAAGAAUCAUACCUCACAUAUUUCACUCCCUCUCUGAAACUCAUCCUUCAUAAUACGCAAUGUACUUGAAGACACAUUGUAACUAGAAUUCCAGCAAGGAUAAACAGGAGUAAUUAUCGGCAUCCGAUGGGAUCUAUCCCUAGGAUAUUUUCUAGGAUCCCAAACUUGAAGUCCAAGAGAUCCUUCUUCAAUAGGACAAAUCAUUACAGGAUUUGGCCAACGCCACUGAGUAUAUACCCUGAAAAACUGAGACACUAACAUAUUCGGCAGUGCAUUGGGAAAUAGCUGAUAUAUUCGAGCAAGCAAUGUGUAGUUUAUACUUUAUACCACCAAGAAAACCAGUAGCCUGGGCACAACAUAUGAAGAAGCAUUAGGAAAAUCUGAACAUAACAAAUAGCAGUGAAUAAAUUCAGGCCAAAACAUAAAAGAACCCCAAAGAUAUCAUCUAGAGUAGGAGCUUUGACAUACAUUUGAAUAAACUCCACAACACUUCGCCCAUAGCCUGAUGCAUCUCAAUGCCAUUUGAAAAUUCUGCAUUUCAUAAACAGAAACCCAAUCAAUGAAGAAAGUCACAGAAAGCUGAAGAUAAUUUCUCUUGUCUUUAAAAUUUAUAUACAUUACCUGAAUAUUUGGAACCAAAUGCAAGAUUUGAUCGGUCAUUCGACAACUAUUAAGACUACGAACAGUUUGUUCGUCUGCAUUUUGUAAUACUGAGUCCUGUGAAAUAUCCAAGUCCUGUCCAACAACAGAAAAAACAUACCAUUAAGUGGUAUGCAAUAGGUAUUAUCACCCUUCAAAUUAAAUUAAAAGAGUGACAAAUGGAAGUAUGGAACAACUUGAACCUAUUAAUCUCUUCACCUUCAUUGAAAGGACCCUGCUUCCGUUGCAGACCCAUGAAGUAAUAGCAGUGUAAAGGUCUUGAUUUGUCAGAAAAGUCACCAGGAUGUGGAUGACAUUGAAGCAUGACAGAAGUGUGCUUCUCAAUCUAGAUGUUUAACAGACAAUGAAGUUAGGUUAUUUAUAUCUAAAGAUCAUAAAUAGAAGCAGAGGUGAGAAAGAAAAUAAGGAAACAACAAACAAUAUGUGCAUGUUUGGAUACACGAUGAAAAAUCACGGUGAGUCACAACUUCCUUUGAUUAAAAAUCAUGGUGAUUCAUGAUAGUUUUUCACUGUGUAUCUAAACAUACCCUAACAACACAAACCUUCAAUGUCAACAUGCGCAGACGAGACUUAACCAAACCAUUCCAUUCUCUAAGAUCAUCCACAUUUUCUGCAGAAAUAACUAUCUGCAAAUAAUUCUUAUAAGCUUCAGAAAAGGGAUAAGACUCAAAAAGAGUAUCCCAAUCAGCCUUGCUAGCCUCCAUAGCCUAAAAAUAUCAGAAACAUCACAUUAAGCAAUCUUAAUAACAAGUAUAAUUAUAAAUUAAAUCAUUAUUAAUUAAGUAUUGGCCAACCUUUACAGAAAACACAACAAACAUGCUAGUAUAUUUCUGGAAUCGUAGCUCAAACAUGCACAAAAUAAAGAAUCAUACCUCACAUAUUUCACUCCCUCUCUGAAACUCAUCCUUCAUAAUACGCAAUGUACUUGAAGACACAUUGUAACUAGAAUUCCAGCAAGGAUAAACAGGAGUAAUUAUCGGCAUCCGAUGGGAUCUAUCCCUAGGAUAUUUUCUAGGAUCCCAAACUUGAAGUCCAAGAGAUCCUUCUUCAAUAGGACAAAUCAUUACAGGAUUUGGCCAACGCCACUGAGUAUAUACCCUGAAAAACUGAGACACUAACAUAUUCGGCAGUGCAUUGGGAAAUAGCUGACAUAUUCGAGCUAUAAGCAAUGCAUAGUUUAUACCACCAAGAAAACCAGUAGCCUGGGCACAACAUAUGAAGAAGCAUUAGGAAAAUCAGAACAUAACAAAUAACAGUGAAUAAAUUCAGGUCAAACAGAAAAGAACACCAAAGAUAUCAUCUAGAGUAGGAGCUUUGACAUACAUUUGAAUAAACUCCACGACGCUUCGCCCAUAGCCUAAUGCAUCUCAAUGCCAUUUGAAAAUUCUGCAUUUCAUAAACAGAAACGCAAUCAAUGAAGAAAGUCACAGAAAGCUGAAGAUAACUUCUCUUGUCUUUAAAAUUUAUAUACACUACCUGAAUAUUUGGAACCAAAUGCAAGAUUUUAUCGGUCAUUCGACAACUAUUAAGACUACGAACAGUUUGUUCGUCUGCAUUUUGUAAUACUGAGUCCUGUGAAAUAUCCAAGUCCUGUCCAACAACAGAAAAAACAUACCAUUAAGUGGUAUGCAAUAGGUAUUAUCACCCUUCAAAUUAAAUUAAAAGAGUGACAAAUGGAAGUAUGGAACAACUUGAACCUAUUAAUCUCACAUAAAUCACUUACUUCCGGAAUAACCAACAAGGAUAAUCUUGCAUAAAUGAGAUCUAUAGAAACACCAUUGACCUUGAACUUCAUCAGCGGAACAGAAGCAUUAGGUACAGGGUGCAACUCUGUUACUUCUGGCAUCUCAGAUAACACUUUAGGUAGCUGGCCAAAGAAAUCCUUCUAAGGCCAAUUCAAAUAAAAAGAAUGGGAAGAAUUAUAAUACAUCUGUGGAUGCAUAUAUAGGUCCCACACAUAUAGCGUCUAUAUCUGCUCCAGGACCAUGCACCUGCAAAAUUUGAAUUAAAAUGGUAAUAGUCAAAGCAUAAUGCAAGAUGCAGAGAUAGUGAGAAGGGUUUGGAAGAAAAAACAGCUUCUUAAUCAUACCCCAAGCCCAUAGGAGCCAAAGGUAAAAACCUUGGCAUUUGCUUCUUGUACCACUUGUUUGUCAAGUUCCUUAGCAUGGCUAAUGGUUUUGACCCAAACCUUCACAAUCUAAUUCAUUUUACAACAUCACAUCCAAAACAAAUGAAUUCAUAAGGAGCUCCACUGCAUAUCAUAGAUGGUAUAAGAUGAAAUGCAACAAUAAAAUAUUCAAUUCCACAAAAGAUACAUGCACUAGAAUAUUUCCCAAGAAGCCAUAUUCUUUCCUAUCCCUCAAUUUCUCAGUAUGGCAAUCACAAUGUGUUUCGAUUGUCCGGGCGCAUACUAUGCAAAGCAUGGUAACUCCAUAAGCUACACUUUGUUCUUCACCAAUAAGGAAUUAUAAGAAUUCCUAGUGCAGAACCAAACAGACUGAGAGUAUUCAAUGCUAUCAACAAAAUAAACUCAACCUGGACUAGCCUUCCAAUCACUUCCUCCCUACUAAUUGCCUCCUGCUGAUUCUCAUACAAACCGGCAUCUUGCAAGUACUGAAAAUCCAGAAUCCAAUUUCAGCACAAAAAUAAAACUUGUAAAAAGCUCAAAAACCAAGAAGAAUUCAAAUUAUAGCAGCACAAACAGAACCUUCUCAAGUUCAAGGGUCUUGAUCACAUCAUAUUCAGUUGGUUCACUCAAUGAGAUGGGUUCUGUUAUUCCAUAUUGUUGCUGCUGCUGCUGCACAAUAUUGUGAUUGCUCAGUCCAGAACUCCUCAUCAAUAACUUGAGUGUUUUCCCCCUUCUUUUGAAAUAUUAUUAUAGUAACUGUGCUGUGUGAUGAUAAUUGUUGAUAGCAAGUACAGUAAUGGGAGAGAAAAAUUUAUAUAAACUUUGAGACAAUCAAAUUAUGCAGGAAUGAUUUCAAAGAAACCCAGAAUAAGUUUCUUCAAGGGGAAGAAAUAAAACAGUUGUAACAACUUGGUGCACCUGUUGGAUUAAUUGUAAAUUGUAAUUAAAAACAAUACUUGGGCAACACUUAAUCUAUAUUUGUCUUUAGGGAUAAAACAGAUAGGGCUGUUCAUGAAGCCUAUAACACAUAAAUAGGAUGUUUGGAUAUAUUUUUCUUUUUUUUAUAUCAAAUUUGAAACUGUGAUAAGCUAUUAAUAAAAAUUUCUUCCUGAAAUUGAUUAUGUAUUAAGUAGGCUUUUGAAAUUUUUACUUAAUUAAAAAGAUCAUGAUUCAUAUCAUGUGAUUCAUAUCAUGUAUAAAGCUUUUCAGGUCCAACACGCUAAAAUAUUUAGAGAGGGGGUGAGGGGAGAGGAGUUUGCUGAUUCCAGUAACACUUAACCAUAAUCCACCUCUAGGCAACAUCACAUAUAAUUUGAAUGUUGAGGAAAAUAAUUAACAAACGUUCAGCUUUGAGCUAGGGGUGCUCAUCGGUUCGGAUCAAUGGCAUGAUCCAAACCUUUGUAGUUGGUUUGAUUUACAUUAAAUGAUGAACCAAACCACAAUCUCAUCUUACAUUGUUUUAAUUUUAAGAUUUUGUGGCGGUUAAAAACUACUACAAACUCAUAUGCCAAUUGAAUGUUCCCAAACCCCGUGGUCCAUGUAGUAUGAUUUUGUAGGAUAUUUUUUUAGAUCGGAAAUGACGCUACAUUUUAUGGAAAUGAUACUAAAUGUUUUUAUUUAAAUCAUUAUGAAAUGAUUUUAUUUGAUUAUAUGCAUUCUUAUACUUUUUUAAUCAAAGGCUAUGGGAUGAAUAUAAUUUUUGCGUACAUUUUAUCAUAGAAUAUUUAAAAAUUAAAUAAUGCUUUAUUUUUAUUUAAUUUUACUCUUUAUUAUUAUCGAAAAGACAAAUUUAAUUUUCAUUGAAGCCCUACAUUUUUUGGUCGAAAUUGAAGCCCUACUUGACUUUGUGCAAAUGCUUUGCUUUUUGUCUCAACUCUCAAGUAAUGAUAAGUAAAUGAAAAUCUCAUUGGUUCCUUCCGCUUUAUGGUGCUCAUUACGGUUUCAAGUAGGCCUUGAAAGCCUAGUGAAAGUUAUUCUCUAUAGCUUUUAUGGAUGUUUUAGAAGCGAAUAUUGCUACUUUCGCAACUAAUAAUGUCCAUAAAGAUUGUAUACAAUGCACUCAAUUGUGUCCGUCUCUGUCCAGUGAGUGUGUGCAUUUUGGACCAUUCUUGAUUGGUUGGUUGGUGGGGAGAAGGAAAAUGAGAUAAUAAUUAUUUCUCUUGAUGUUUUUACUUUCCUUUCAAAGGCAUUUGAAGGAGGUGUUCACACUCAAACCUAAUUGUGAUUCCUACCUCUUUAAACCGAAUAAACAAAGUAUUGUAUAUAAACGUGCAUGCAUAUACAUUCAAUAGACAUUUCAAUUUUUUCUAUCUUGCUCGUAUCAAAUUUAUCAUAUAUCACAUUCAUUAGUUUUUUCCUUCUCUUUAUUUUUCACUUUGAGUGUCAGUUGGAUGUGUGCACUAUGUGAAUAUCUUAAAAUCAUUACCAACAAGGUGUAACAUAGUUGAUAGUUAGUUGAAGUUCUUAAACAUUUAAUCGAUGAUUUGAUCGCUCGACGAGAUGUAUAUGAAUAAUUAUUUAUUAUGAGAGUCCUAUCCACUUAAUAUGAUCUUUAAAGCUCGGAAAAUUAAUCUGGCGGUGAUGGAAAUAGUUUGGUAAAAAAUGAUUUUGUGAAUUGAGUAUAAAUUAGCGUGCAAAAGCACAAGUCAAAUAUAGUAAAACAUCAAUGUCAAAAUGGGGGCCAUUUGUAUUAGUAACACCCCAAAAAAAGGGUGAGGCGUUACUCAAAUUCUUAAUCCAGGGUCCAAUUGAAAUAAUUAUAGUCAUAAUUCCUUAUUACUUUUUACGUUUUCUUCAUUUGACAUAACGCCCCUCAAUUCAUCAUGGCGAAGAGUCCACUUCUUAUUCAUCGUAUUAUAUCAACACCUCUCUCUGUUUGAUCUUUCAAACAAUGGAAUCCAGAGAAAACACAAACCAACUUGUAGAGACCUAUGAUCAACAACAAGGGCAAUACAAGUCCUACAUCGAUUGUCCUGAGAAUUCAGAGUCAGACUCAUCAAAUGAGGUAAGUGUUGGCGAUGCUGCAUCUGAUGAAGAAGAAGAAGUGAGUUUGGAUGAUGAGUUGCUGAAUGAUGGAAACCCAAAUUUUAAGAAGAAGAUUGAGCUUCUAGCUGCAAUGGUUGGAGUUGACACUACAGAGCCAGUGAUUGUGCUGACUGAAGUAGUGAGAGUCCUCAAGCACUUAAAGAGUAUAAUAUAAAUAUCAAUGAACUAGCUAGUACCACAUUACAUUACUGCUUAAGUUCUUACAUGGGGUAAAGAAUUUUAGUUAUUAAUAAUUUCUUGUUGCUUCCAUCAAAAAAUAAUUUGUUGUUGCUGAUGUGUGACUUGCGCAUUUUAACUCUAUGUUCCUUGCUACCUUUCUUUCUAUAUAAGAUAAUCAGUUUGAACUUUUAUGUUCAUUCCUUUCUUCCCAAUAUCUCAUGCACAACUUGUAUCCCACUUUCCUAGAAACUUACUCUAAUUUAUAAACAUUUAUUAUUUUUUAUUUUUAUCUCAUCAUUAAUUUGAAAUUUCUUUGAUUAAUUUAUUUUAAAAAAUUUAGUGAAUUCAGUUUUCAAUUUUUGGUCAAUCCUAAAAUUACCAUAUAUUUAUUUUACCAUUAUAUCAUUUUUUAAUUCUUAUAUUUUUUUAAAAAUAUCAUUUUGCAUUUUUGCCUACGUGAUGCACUAAGAUAUUAGCGAAUACUUCAUAUUGAUCAAGUUAUUUUGUAUAUUAUUACUGUAUUUAUUUUUGGGUGAACAAAUUUGGGUGCUUUCAAGUAUCCUUUAACGUUUAAAAAAAAGUAUCAUUUAAGCAACAACAAAUUUUAUCCUUUUUUUUUUUUUUUUUUUUUUUNNNNNNNNNNNNNNNNNNNNNNNNNNNNNNNNNNNNNNNNNNNNNNNNNNNNNNNNNNNNNNNNNNNNNNNNNNNNNNNNNNNNNNNNNNNNNNNNNNNNNNNNNNNNNNNNNNNNNNNNNNNNNNNNNNNNNNNNNNNNNNNNNNNNNNNNNNNNNNNNNNNNNNNNNNNNNNNNNNNNNNNNNNNNNNNNNNNNNNNNNNNNNNNNNNNNNNNNNNNNNNNNNNNNNNNNNNNNNNNNNNNNNNNNNNNNNNNNNNNNNNNNNNNNNNNNNNNNNNNNNNNNNNNNNNNNNNNNNNNNNNNNNNNNNNNNNNNNNNNNNNNNNNNNNNNNNNNNNNNNNNNNNNNNNNNNNNNNNNNNNNNNNNNNNNNNNNNNNNNNNNNNNNNNNNNNNNNNNNNNNNNNNNNNNNNNNNNNNNNNNNNNNNNNNNNNNNNNNNNNNNNNNNNNNNNNNNNNNNNNNNNNNNNNNNNNNNNNNNNNNNNNNNNNNNNNNNNNNNNNNNNNNNNNNNNNNNNNNNNNNNNNNNNNNNNNNNNNNNNNNNNNNNNNNNNNNNNNNNNNNNNNNNNNNNNNNNNNNNNNNNNNNNNNNNNNNNNNNNNNNNNNNNNNNNNNNNNNNNNNNNNNNNNNNNNNNNNNNNNNNNNNNNNNNNNNNNNNNNNNNNNNNNNNNNNNNNNNNNNNNNNNNNNNNNNNNNNNNNNNNNNNNNNNNNNNNNNNNNNNNNNNNNNNNNNNNUUUUUUUUAUAAAAACCAGCCACAGACAUUCCACUACUGAUACUAAUGUGAUUAAUCAUCUCGAGACUCUAGAGAUCACAUGAAGUUGGUAGACUUCUUUCAACAAAUUUAUUUUCACACACCAUUUAAUGAUUGAAUUAUCAACUAAAUCUUAAGAAGUUCAACUAUCUAAGAAGUAAGAACACUUUGUUUAUUUGUGUCAAGACUUGUUGGUCCCAAAUAUUUUUAAGACCAAUGACACAGUGCAUAGAACACAUCCUCGGCGGGAUGAAUUGAUUUUACAUAUCAUAUAAUCGGGACUCAUCUCAACUCUGCGUACACGGCAAAAACCAUAUUAGCAGAUAAUUAACCAUAUGUUUGUUCCCAUUUCAAAAAUUAAAUGAAAACAUAUGUUUGUUUCAAGAUGCAUUCACACGUAUUUCAUAUUUUACACUUCUAUUAGUUGGAAUAAUAUUUACUUCCGCGUGCAUGAUACUACGAGUGUGACCAAAACCAUCCAUUUAUCAAAUUCUAGAAGUGCAUAUCUUUGAUGUUUCUUUCCUGCGUUUCAAACACAAUUUCCAUUCACUUGUGCGUUUGGUGCAUCAGCAUAUUUACAUGGAUACGUAAAAAACAGCAACAUUUUGAAUAUUUAUUUGAAACACUAAGCUCAUCACAUGCACUUGCACUACAUGUUUGAAUUGUCAGAGCACUUUCACUCUUAAUACCACUUAAUUUUUGCAUUCAACAUUUUCAUAAAUCUAUUAUGAAUAUUAAUUAUCUUCUAAUCUUUUAAGUGCUUAUAUAAGUCAUGAUGAUUGUAAUGGUUCAAACAUAUUUCGUUUACCAAAAAUUAUAUCUCAAUUGUUUAAUUGCUUAUACAUAACCAUUUUAUAAAACUAAAUGAAAAUUUCAUUUAAUAUUUUCAAAUCAAGAGAAACCUGUAGAAAAAAAUCAUGAUUUAGGAUCAUAUUUUUAGUAGUAAUAUAUAUGUACUUUAUUUUUCAUGAUCUAGAUUGUUCAUUGUUUUCACAAUAUGAAUUUUCUAAAUCAAUCGGAAAAGGAGCCUUUUGGAAUAAUGAUUUUCACAAUAAGAGUUUGUAAAGGAGUCUUGCUUGCCUACCUUAAACAUGAAUGCAAAUAAAUUAGUCAACCAUAAAAUAAGUUACUAGAUUAAAACUAGGACAGUAAAAAUUUAAGUAAUUAUGCUAACUAAUUUAACAAAAAGUAUCACCAACCCAAACAUGGAAAGAUAAAUGUGAGACAAUUAAAACCAAAUCUUUCUUAUAAUAUUAAAAUCAGCUGCCUUCAAAUGCUUGUUGUAUAGCUUUCUUUGCUACACCCAUACAUACAGACUAGCCCCAAACACAAUGAUAAUAGAUCAUGUCAUAAAAAUUAGGUCCUUAGAAAUGAUGAAUAAAAUCAUAGAAACUAAACACAUCUUUUCUUCCUAAGAAAAUAACUCUUGAUUCAAACUUAGUUUCCAAGCCCAAGGAGCCUAAGACAAUAUGGAAAUCUAAGCUGAAAUUCUCUUCUUACACAAUCAAAAGUCAAUGUGCCAAACUUAAACUUCUUAGUUACAAGAUAUUUGAGGAUCACGAAAUAACCUGGGUCACAUAUACAGUGCUGUGAAUUUGUGAUUGAAGUUGUGUUUAGUAGGUGUGAGACAACCUACAUAAGCGUCGGCACAAAGAGCUCUCCAAAGCUUCAACGUAGAUGACACUUUACAUGCUCUUAUAACCAACAUUAAAAUGGAGCAACAUCAACUCAACAUUUCCUUCAUGCAUUCUCACCCAAUGGGUUGAUGCUGAGCUGUUAGAAGUAGCAGACUAGCAUCCUUCCGACAACAACAAUCGGCAAAGCAUGUCCUGCAAAAUCAGCAAGUAUGAACUAAUAAUUGCACAAUCCAUUUGCAUUGUGUUACCAUAACACAGCAAAAUAUUCAAUAUAAAUCAAUUAAUCCAAAUCUUGAAUUACACUGAAACAAUUAAGUGCUUGCAUGAGCAUCACACUUGUAUGUAUAAAAAACAUAAAAUAGAUUGGUAAAAUAAAAACAAACUGAAGCAUGAAAUCUCUGUUCAUUCCAACUACGAUUAAUUAUAUAAAAUUACAAAUUGAUAUGAGCAAGACAUUGUAAAUUUUUUCCUUUUUUAAAUAAAAACUUCAACAUUUAAACUAUCAUGAAAACUCUUCAAUAUUUAAACUAUCAUGAAAACUACCAAAUCAUGAGCAGAUCUUGAUAAUUCACCCCAAAUAACAGACCAGCACAUCAUCAUGAUACCACUAUUUCAGUAACUUUACAGCCAUUAUGCUUACCUCUCUAUACUGUAAUUUAUACUUACCAUCACAAAAGGCAUAUGAUGAGAUCAUAAGAAAAGAAUCAAAAUGAAAAACAAUUGAUAAAUAUGAAAUUCUUCUAGUUUAUAUCUCUCCCAUUUGGGGAAAUUUCAUUCAUGGAUGCUUCCUAACAUGAUAUGUGAGUAAUGGAAGCUUUAAGUGCUAUUUCUUAUCUAAACAACAAACAUAACAAGGUAAAAAUAAAUCAGAGAAGGAGACUGUCAAAACUGGGAUCAUGUAUAUAUAAAAAUUGGAAACUUAAAAUACAUUUGCAAUUCAAGAUAUUGUCAAUCAAUUUAAGGUUUUAAACCAAACUGUGUUGCCACCUGUCAUAUGGCACGAGGAUAAUUAUAAUCAAGUAACUUAUCAGGGGAAGGGGCUACUUCACACAUAUUAAUGUUACACAAAAACAUAAAUACACAAGAUUGCAGUGUGCUACAUUUGACAUCUAUGUACAGCACAAGAGCCAAGCCUGGAUAGUCUGUAUUUUAAUACCGCAGAUUUCGCUGCAGUCACCUCCGCAAAGAAGCAACUUUGAAUGGCCUCAAAUAGGAUCUAUGCAAUUUGUCAACUUUCAAGCACAUUUGCAGUGUCCAUGAAUACAUCACUAGAAUAUUCUAGACCAACACUUGGGGAAAAGAUGCAUGCAAACCACCAUGCAUUUGCAGCUUCACAUAUGUAUACCAAGAAUUUUCUUCAUAGGAUUCAGCUGAAAAUACAACAAAAUACAAGGGUCACAUAAAAUUAACCACAGCAAGAAGUCGAGUAAACCUCCAUUUUCAUCCUUGAAAAUAGCAUGAUUAUUUACAUCAACCCCUUCACUAAAGAAGUAUGAAGGGAAGUCCUCAACCUUUUUGUCGGUCACAUUAGCCCAUUCAAUAAAAAAUAGGUUGAGGACUAAUGUGAAUGACAGAAAUACAGGUCAAGGACCUUUAUCUGUGCUUCUUUAGUGUAGGGACUAAUGAAAAAUCAUGACAAUAUCAAGUAUGAAAAUAAGGGUUUACAUACAGGAGUAUAAAUCAGAAAAUUACCAUAUUUGGCAUUUAUUUGGCAGAAGAAAUGCGCUGCAGAGAUGACAUCCAACUACUUGAAGGGGCAAUUUUACUGCCUUGCCCUUGUCCAGGGUUGGAAGCUUUAGCAGAAAAGGCAGGUUUCAAGGAGGUCCGAUUUGCAGCACCAGCAGAAUAUGAAGUAGAUGGCAUAUUUGAUUCUCCAAAAAUCUACAAAAAAAAAAUAAUAAAAUAAUGCUUGCUAAAUACUGAUCUAGUCAAUUUUAGACAUAAUACUGUACAAUAAGAGAGAUGUGACUUCAGUAUUGCAACAAAGCAACAGCAGAAAAAAUUAAAUUACUAAGAAAGAUGACUUACAUUCUUGUCAAGAGGAUUUUCAGAACUCAAAUUUCUACCAACUGGAGAUUUCAACUGAAUUUUAACACCAGAAGUAGCAGCAUUGCCUGAUCUAAUGCGCUCUUUGACGUGCCCUGAAUAUGCAUUAAGACCUACGAAUUAGAUAAUAUCAAAUUAAAAUUUGUUUAAGUAGAAAACUAAAGGCUACUUUAUCUGUCUUCCUAGACUGACCAAAUCUAAUUAAAAUUUUACAAACAUAAAGAAUUCAGCCAACAUUGCUGGUUAUCCAUGUAAAUGUCACUCUUACUAUGAAUUUGUUUUGCAUUCAACACAAGUUUAUUUCUUGAUAGGAAACCCCUAUAAAUGACAGCUUAUUUAAGGUGCACCAACCUUGGUGGUUGUCAGCAUCCAUUGGAAUACCACGACUGUUACUUGCUACAGGAACUGGCUGCAACUAGACAAAAUUCAAUAUUGUCAGAAGCAUGGAAAGAUUCAAGAUUCAAAACCAUGAGUAGCGCCCCCCUCCCCUAAAAACACACAUGCACACAUGCACAUGGCAAAAGAAAAAAAUAUACUUACAGAUAAGGAGGGCUGCACUGCAUUCUUUUGUGAUUGCUGAUACUUCAAAAUGGUCCAAUCAAAAACAUAAUCAAAGUCAUAACCUGAUACAUCAAGAAAGGCAAAAUAGAGGGAGGAAAGGUUAUACUUGGCAUAGAAAUGAAAUAUCAAAAUAACACUUUUGUACAAGUGUUGCAUCUUCUAAAUAAUCUAACAGAGUAUAUUAUUAAUUUUUUAUUUUAAGGAAAAAAGUUCCCUUUACUUUGAUCUUAGUAAGAUAUUAUGUUAAUCAAAUUCCCAGUAUUUAAAUGUAUUCAAAAGCACACCAACAGAAAGACGCAACUCCUUUGAUUAUAUGUUAUUCAAAUAAUGAAAAGAACAAUAACCUUCUCGAGCAAAUAGGUCCCGAAAUAGGCGCUUCAAGAAUCCAUAAUCAGGUCGCUGAUCAAAUGUCAAAGAGUGGCAGUAAUGGAAGUAUGAAGCAAACUCAACAGGAUGAGAUUUGCAUAGUACCUUUGGAAAAUAACAAACAAAAGAGUAAAUCUUUUUUGUUUUGUUUUGUUUGGGACUUUAGGGGAAGGAGGCCUUCACAUCGCAAAUAAAUGCCUAAACACCUACCUCAAUAGGAGUUGAUAGUUUCUUCUGACAUAUUUUAUCAUACUUCUGCUUCUUUGUUGCAGCCUUCAGACCUUGCCAAGGAAGACUGAACACAAUAUUAAGUUAUAUAAAAGUUAGGACAUUUCGUUCAAUCAUCUCAACAGAUAUUAGACUGACAAAAUACAUUAGGAAAAAACCAAGUAGAGCAGAAUGGCACACCUUCCUCUGAGGAAGUACAAAAGUACAUAUCCUAGUGAUUCCAAAUCAUCCCGUCUACUUUGCUCUGCAAAUAAUAUAGCAAGCCAGCAAGAGUUAACAUCCAUUCAGGGUGAAGGGUUAAUAACAUCUAACUUCAGACUUACCAAUCCCAAGAUGAGUAUUGCAACUAGCAUAACGUGCAGUCCCUGUUAAGUUCUUGUUCUCCCUGUGUUGCAAUUGUUAGAGUAUUAUUACACGGAAAAAGAAUCUUCAAAAUAAAGAAAAUGAAAUCAUAGAACUACCUGUAAGGGAUGUGGCGAUUGGUUGAGGAGUCCCGAUAUCGUUUUGCCAGCCCAAAAUCAAUUAUGUAAACCUGAAAAGAACAGCAUAAUUACACAUACAUGGAACCUUAACAAAUACAUACAUAGUGGAAGGAAGGGCAAGUACAAGAAGGUUACCUGGUUGGCCUUCCGUCCAAGUCCCAUGAGGAAGUUAUCGGGUUUAAUAUCCCUGUGUAAAAACCCUUUAGAAUGUGCAUAUUCUAUUCUAGUGAUCUGCCCCAAAUUUGAAAAGAAGAAUUAAUAUCAAGUGUAGAACUAUAACAGAUAAAAUUAACAGGUUUUCAGAAGUAAAAUGCAAGACUAUAACAGAUAAAAGUGAGCAUGAAGGGUCAGUUGUUGUGCCCCCAAAUUUUUCAAAAUGUAGCAGCAGCAUACCAUUUGAUCAGCUAACAUUAACACUGUCUUCAACGAAAACUUCCUUCCACAAUACACGAAAAGAUCCUCGAGACUCGGUCCCAGCAAAUCAAGAACAAGCACGUUAUCCUCCCCGUCUACCCCAGACCAUCUCGUGCCCGGAAUGCCACCUGCAUACCAAUCAACAAAUUAAUAAGUGUGACCAAAUUCAAAAUUUUAGAACAAUAACACAGGCGAAAAAAGAAGAAGCUUAACACUGCAAAUUGCAAAAUACAUACUUCCUCCUUGAAGAAUAUUGUAGAGUUUUGCCUCAUAAAGCAGUUGUGGAUGCUUAGUUUUACUGUUCUCCUGCAACAACACCGAAUAGAGAGUAGUAACUAGUAAGUACCAAUGUAUCAUAAACACGUAAACAACUCAAUUUUAUGUGAAUUAAAAACCUAAUUGCCAGUGAGCACCAAUCAGAACUGACUCAUGCAAUAUAAUCAUACACGAAAAAAUCGCAAUCAGCAAUAGUGUUCAUAAAUUAGGGCACAGAAUCAGAUAGCGAAUAUGAAAAGUAAGAACAGAGAGACUCACUAUCUUGACUGCAACGAUCUCAAACGUAUCAAUAUGCGUAGCUGCAAGGGAAAAAAGCGCGAUCAGAACAGAUAAACGAAGAAUCAACAGUUGUUGUGGAAUCAAUUGAAUACUCACCGAGGUAGAUUUCACCGAAGGAUCCGCUUCCGAUCUUGCGGCCGAGCUUGUAUUUGCCGCCAACGAUACGCUCCAUGUGGUGGAAGGUUCCAGAAGCCAGUGACAGUGAGGUUUAUGAACCAAACCAGAGUGCGAGAGAGGGAAGAAGUGAAUUAUUGAUGGUUCUCAGUUUUUUGGUGUGCUUUUCAGCACUGAAUCAUGAGAGAAGAGAAACCAGAGCCACACAGUAGAGAGAGAAAGAGGAGAGAGAUAGAUAGAGAGAGAGAGAGAGAGAGAGAGAGAGCGAAGGUUAUAUACAUACACGAAAUGCUUCAUGGAGGUGGGGGUAUUUGUGUCUUUUAAUGAGUUGUUGUUUGUAUGCUCACGGCGACUGACUCUGUAGUCUGUAGGUUAAGUACAGGCAUCCAUUUACUCGCAUGGGCCAUGGACUACUGCAGUAUUUUAUAUUUUCUUGAACAACAUUAUUAUUUUUAAAUAAAAUCAUAAUAUUUUACUUUGUCCCUUUAGUUUUUAAAUUUGCAAAGGCAUUCCACGUGCGUUACUCAUGAGAUUAAUCUCCUCGAUACUCAGAUAUCACAUUAAGUGAAUAAGUAUUUUCCAACAAAUAUUUUACCAUACGCACUGCUCAAAUUUGGACUAAAUAUUCACGAAAUUCAGUUAUUUAUCAAAUAUGCAAGAUAUUGUCCGUCUUAAUCUAGAUCAUGUAUGAUUUUGUUUUUUUGCUAAUGAUCAUGUAUGAUUUUGGUUGCUCUAAACUCAAAUUACUUCAUCUCCCAAAUAUUAUUUUAAUUUUUUUAGGGUUUAUGAUAAAUUUAGUAUAUGAUUUAAUAAUAAGAGUUUAAAGAUGAUGUGAAAACUUGUUAAACUUGGAAUGAUUUGGUAGAAUAUGAAAUUAGAUUUAAAUAUAUGGGAAAUUGAUCUUUUUUAUUUUUUAAAAAAUUAUUAUUUUUAUUACCUCUGCAAUGAUUUUAUGAAUUAGUUUGUUAAAAUUUAUCUUAAAAAAAUGAAUUUGAGAGUUUUAAGUAGAAUCCUAAUAAUAAAGAGAUUAAUUUUCAAUACUUUAAAAGCUGAGAGACUAUGUAUGCCCAAAAAUUAUUGGGGUUUAAAAUCUCACAUAGUUAAUACUAGAUGUCUUGGAAUUUUUUUUUUUGGUUAAAUUUUCUCUUUCAAUUAUUACAUUUUUUGGUCAAAUAUUAAAUAUUACAUAUGGGAAAAAAAUAAAUUGGUUUUGCCCAAAGUGAGAAAGGAAGUAAAGAGGAAAAAAUAAUAGGAAAAUAGGUAAAUUCUGAUGCAAUAUAAAGUGAAUAAUAGAGAAAAAUAAUUUAGUGUUUUAAGAGAUGUACGCAUAGACAACAUAGUGAUCUAUGUACAUGCAGGGGUCGCACACUGUUGGGUCAACUUUUGUAGGGUACUGCUUACAUCACCUACUUCGGUUUUUUUAUUAAAAAAUGUGAGUUGAUUAGAAACUGUCUAGAUGGGUUGUGGAUAAGCACCAAAUAUUAUAAUGAGUUUUAAAAAAUUAUAAUGACUCACGCUAUUAGGAAACAGAAAUGCUACUUGUUACAACACAUUCUUUGUCGAAAAGAAAUGAAACAAAUGCAAUUGAUUGGUGGAGAUAUCAUCUAAUUGGGUCUAUGAAACUACCCCACAUUAUAUUUCAUCAAACAACCAAUGAGUUAACAAGAACUCAUUAUUGGUUAGUUUUGUUAAAUCAGAAUUAUAUUUUUGUCAAAUUCUAAAUUCAUUUCUCUUCAAAUAAAAAAAAAUGUAAUUUUGUCUUCAUCAAAGGCCCAGUUUAGAUCAGCCCAAGUAAUGCAGCCCAUCAGCAAGAUCUCAAUCGAGGUAGAAGUUCUGUUCUGCUUGGCGAGGCUGAAACAGAGAGUGUGAAGAGAUGGCAGUAUUAGGAGAAAUGGAGAAGAUGAUCGCAGUGGGUCUAGUAUGGGGCGCCACAAACGCUAUCAUGCGCCGGGGUGCGCUUCUCUGGGACCAAGCUCUCAAAUCCUCCGCCGCAGCCAAGCCACCACCCUCCUCAACCAUCUGGCAAUACUCCAUCCCCUUCCUCAUCAAUCUCUCCGCCUCCGCCACCUUCUUCACCAUCCUCUCCGACGCCCCUCUCUCCCUCGCCGUCCCCGUCACCAACGCCACCACCUUCGCCGCCACCGCCAUCUUCGGUACCCUCCUCGGUGAACAAACUCACCUCCCUCGCGCUUUCUUUGGUACCGCUUUCAUCAUCCUCGGCAUUUCCCUCUGUAUCAACUCCUAGUUUACUAUUUUGCUUCUCUUAGCAUUCUCUAUUUCUUUCAUUUUCAUUUUACUCUUAUGUGUGCUUAGGGUUCAUUCAUGUUUGCAAAUUACUGUGUUCAUGAAAAUUUAUUCUUCCAUAUAUGAGAUAACUUGCCAUACAAAUCAGCAUUAUUCAGCUACAUGGUGUACAAGAAUGAAAUCACAAAGACAGUGACAAAUAGAGAACAUGAACAAGAGAAUUAAAUAAGUGAAUCUGAGCUGAGAAUCUUUGGUUUCGCGAUUUGCAAAGAAUCCAAUUCGCGUUUACUCGGACGAUAAGACUUGUUUAUUGAAGUUAAGACUUGUAGGUUGUAGCUUGUAACCAGUAGUGAUUCUGGAGAGUUUCAGCAUAUGUUUGUGAAGAGGAGAUUAGAAUUGUGUUUUGAAACAUUCCGGAGGGAUAUGUCCGUUGAAUCGCUUGGCGUCUGUGCAGUAGUCAUAGAUCAUGAAAUUCUUUCUGACCCAAUUCAACAGCCUCAUCUGGGCAUGAUUCAGCUGCUUGUGCACCGGAGAGUUCCACCAAUUUGCUGGUAUAUUGGAGGCACAUUGAUUGAUGCUCACUGCCCCAUUCCACUUGCAAGCCCUUGCUCUGAAAUGAUAAAAACUGGCCUUGAAUGGCGCACCUUUCCAGUUGGUCUUGACAUGCCCGCCUCUGGUGGCCCAGUUGUCUGCAUUCCAUAGGCUGGUAUGAACCCUCAUUCCUUGCUUGUUUGGAUAGGCAAUGCCUUCAUUUUCGUAGUUCCGGAAAACCCGGAUUGGCAGACUAUCAACAAACCACCUGUGAGAUAGGCAUAGAAUUAGAUAGGCAUGCAUGAUUCUUUGUCAUGGAACUGAGGAAAUGAAUAACUCUGCUCUGGUGGAAGAAUUUAUCAACUUACACAAUUUCUGUGGGAUUCCAGUGAAUGGUGUAAUUGUGGAAAUCAGCAGUUGGGUCAAACCAGAGGAAGAAUCGUUGCUCUCGGCUUCCUUUUCCUCGGGUGUAUAUGUUGGUAUUUACUAUGUAUGGUUGUCCUGUAGUGUUGCCUAAGAACUCAAAAUCUAUCUCAUCAUGCUGGCUUCCUGUUGAGGAUAACUGUAUGGGUUUUAAGUAAGAAUCAUUAGCACUUCAUUAGUUCAUUUACUGAUAGAAAUCUGAUAGAUUUGGUUUUUCUGAAGUACAUCUAAGUAUUGAUGAAUAAAAAAUGUAUGAUGAUGGUGUUUUAGAAUCCUUUUAGGUUCAGUGAACUUACAUAGAAGGCUGUAACUGUUCCUGCGGAAUUACCAGGUAUCAGCUUGAUCAGCAUUUCAGUACUCCCAAAUAAGAAGGAUCUCUUCGAUUGAGCUGCUGAUCCUGAAAUCCAAAGGCAAAAACACAUUUUUCUACUUAAGCUAAUAGGAGAUGAAUGCAUUUUAUUUUAAUUUAGUAAUUUUACUGCAGUUCUCAUCAUGUUUAGUUUGAUUACAAAUCUUAAAUUGCUAUACAAACAUUAAUAUGAUUCUAUGGUAUCAGGCAUAGGAUUUAGCUCCUAUAAAUAGAAGGACUCACUUUGGAUCAUAAAAUAAGUCAUGACAACCACUAAUUAAGAAUCAAUGGUUGAGAUUUAAAAAGAACCAUAGCUUCUUAUACAUGUGCAGUUGUGCACUAUGAUCACAAUCUUAAUCAAUGGCCGUGAUGACUUAUGUUACCCUGACUCUUAACUUUAGAGGAGUCAAAUCCCAAGCCAUAAUAUCAUUCUUGUACCAAAAAAAAAUAUCAUUCUUGUACACUAUUGUUCAAAUUCAACAUAUUGAAAAAGGCAACAACCUUUUACUAUGCAAAAUUUAUCUCGUGCUUAAUUAAAAUGAAUGUAUUGAUACAUUAAUGGAUGCACGGUAAACAUAAAUGUUUCACCUGAUGUUCGAUCCAACACAAGAUGAAGGUCUUCACCAAGGAUUGAUGCAUGUUGAGCACCCCAAGUGAGGUACAUGCUCUUGGAAAAGUUGGCAUCCACAUGGGUGAUGUUCGGUAUGAGUGCACAGAUUAACAAAGCUACCAACAUGUUUUCAAAUUUUGCCAUGUUUACUCUUAUGAACAACUUUUGCCUGUGUUUACCGUUCUCUGAAGUUGAAAACUUGGAUGAUUUAUCACAAUGGGUGAGGUCUUUAUAUAAGUUCCAAAGAGCCAUAUGAUAUGACAUUAUAAAGUUGAGUUUUGUGUUAUUAUGAUCUAUUUACUUGGAUUGAGUAGUAGUAUUAUCGAUUAUUGACUUGUUCAUGGGAUUUGUCGUUCAGAAAUUAAUGUUUUUGAAACUGAGAGCCUAUAGAAUUUAUUCCAGGGUUCAUGAAUAAGUUGGCUCCUCAUUGGUACAGAUGUUUAAAAUGUGGUCCUAUUCUGUGUUCUUUUGAUUUUUCUUUUUUGAAUUUGUCAUAGCUACUUCAGGCACAUCUAUGAUUUGAACGUUUGAGAAUCAAACUAAAUUGUAUUCAGUUACAAUCAUGAAAAUCAUUUUUUUUAAAUGUUAAAUCCAAAUCAUUUGCUCCAUCGGGAUUCGGAUAACAUUGUCGUUAAAUAUUCGUACAAGAGUCAGGAAUUUUAUUUUUCUCCUUUACUUUAGGUAUAAGUUAAAUGAAUAAUUAAAUGAAAUGUUCAUUAAAAAAUGCAGCAAAAAAAACUAAUUAAAAAAAUACAAUGAAAUAAUAAUCACGCAGAAACAAUGUUGUUCACUUAUUCUAUGGCUCUAUUGUAUUGGAUGUGCACCCACAUUCCCUUGCCAGGCACGCCACGGUGGUUCACAAAGAGCAAGUAGUAGCCAGGAGGAGCAAUCACAGAGUUUGGUGGUGCCGCUAUCCUAACCCGGUAAAGCCCUGGUGAGUCCACCAUGAGUUUGUCAAGCUUGAGAACCAAAAGCCUCUGACCCAUGGAGAAGCCGUGAGUGGUGAAAGGUGGGAAAUACAUGGUCACCUUAAUGUCAUUCAUGGUCAACUCAGCUCCAUCUUGCACAGCGAAUACAGUCUCAAAGAAUUGCCCAUACCUCAACUCCUUGGUUGAUUCAUCCUCAUUAAUCUUAGGCCUGUAGAUGUCAAAAUCCACAUCCAGAUAAGGAGGAGAAAAUGCCUCAACUCUGGUCUCAGUUGGGAACUUGUCAUUAUCCUUAUAGGUUUCAUGGGUGUUGCUACCACCAACCCAAACCCUGCCAUCAGGAAGCACUAGUGAAGUUGAGUGAUACAUUCUUGCUAUCUGGGUAGGCUUUAGCUCCCUGAACCUCAACCCUUUAGGUUUCUCUGGGCUAUACAACACUGGGGUGUAGUUGGGUUUGUCAGCAUCCCACCAUGCUGCUGUGCCCACUUGUGCACCAUUAAUGAGCAAGAUUUCUCCGUUGGGGAGGACAAGAGAGUCUCCCAUGGUUCUUCUUGAAGGCAUUAACUCGGAGUCCCAUUCAGGGUAAGGGUCAGUGAUGGUUAGCCUGUUGCAAUCUUGAAGUGCAGGGUGGAAGAUCUUUCUUAACUCAGACAACUCGAAGGCGGUGGGGACAUUUCCACCACAAACGAUGACCUCCGCCUUGUUAUCAGCGGCAUUGAGGUCUAUUGGGAGGAGGGCGGACAUGCCAGAGGCAGGGUAGUUGCGAGAGCCGCCAGGGAGAACGGGGAAGGUGCGAACCACUUUGUGGGAGGUGGGGUUGAGGAGGAUAGAGCGGUUGUUGGAGAAGAUGAAGAGGUUUCCGUCGAUGGAAAGGUGGACAAAUGGGUACAAAUUGUUCUCAUCGAAGUCGGAAGUCUCAUACAGGUAGGGGAAGAAGAAGGGUUUAGUGUUCUUUUCCCCUUCUUGUCUUGGAAUGAACUCGUAGCUAAAAGCUCUGCGCCCUCCUAUCAAAAUGAAGUCUCCAUUUGGAAGAAUUUGUUGAGUUGCAUACCUAUUCAUAUGUGAGCAUUUGAGAAUAAUUAAUCACCAUUCAUAUAUAUAUUUAUACGGGCAAUAUAGCAUUGUUAACACAACACAAAAAGAUAAAAUAGAUCUCAAUAUGUUCAUAAGGCAAGAGUUCAUGAGACAGACAUUGAUAAAAAUAGUCCUUUAAAAUCAUAAGUACAUACCAUCUAUCGGCUGCCAACACGUUGUCAUAUUCCCUCCAUUCACAUUCUUGGCAAGCACCACCACCUAUGUAUCUGAGAGUUCUUCCACCAUCAGCAAAACCACCAGCACCCACGAGGGUACCAUCAGGUGCAAGCCCUCCAGAUGAACACCAAGGAUCUCCUCCUUUUAUCUGCACCAAAAUGAACAUUAUUUACAACAUGUUUCGAUCAAGUUCUCUUUUAUCAGCAGAUCAAUUCAAACACGAAUAAGUUUCUCCACAUAAUCAAUUUUAAUUUUAGAACCAUUUAAUAGAACGAUAAAAAAUUGGUACAUACCAAGAGUGGCCUAACUUGAUUUGUCUCAAUAUCAUAUUCAACAGCAUGAGCAAAACAAUCAACCCUGUCUUCUUUAGUAGCGAAAUCUUUGUAUGGAACGCAUGGUGUCCCUUCUGGUAAUUUGAUUCUGGAGGUACGGUAAACUUUAGCAUCAAAGACUAUGAUCUUAUUUGUUGGUAACAAAUUGACAUGCAUUGCUGAAACACCAGCGUUUUCAGAAAUCAGCUCCCAAUGUCCAAUAUUAUUAAUUAUGAAAUCUUCCUUCUUGAUUUCCUCCCCUAGUUCAGGAGGAACAAUUUCUUUAUCACCAUCCCCAGGUUCUUCUCCGUAUAUAGGAGGUGGAUCAAAGGGUAGGUCUGGAAAUGGAUGAUGCUUCCUCCUGCGAUGGUGUAUGUGCUUCUUCUUGUGCUUCUUGUGUCUUGCAUCCACAUCCACGGCAAGGAACAAGAGACUGAGAAUCAAAACAACCUUGAGCAAACGUGCCAUUAUUUUCUAGAUUGAUAAAAAAUUUAAUAAUGAUAGAAAACCAGACACUUCUUCCAACACACGGCUUGUUAAAGCCUCGUGUGGAAUUAUGGGUGUCUGGUUUCCUCAGUACAGGUUUUUGUCAAAUGAAACUUUCAUAUAGCUUCAAUAUAUAUAGUGUUAGGUUUCGAGGCAUUUAUUGCUGAAAUAUAGCAAAUGGUAUUGUAAAUUCUUCUAUGUUUAGCUAUUUGUUAGGGAAUAACAAUAUUACAAAGCACCAAUUAAUAUCUUUUAACUUGAAUCGUAACAAAAACAUCCAACUUAAAUGUGGUGUAUAUAAAACCAUAAAGUCCACAGAUAGACUUUUUAUGUUUUGACAUAGGGGCUAAUAUGUAUUAUAGAACUUAUAACAAAAUUACAAAGCACCAAGAAUUUCUUUUUAACUUGAAUCGUAACAAAAACAUCUAACUUAAAUGUGGUGUAUAUAAAACCAUAAAGUUGGACAGAUAGACUUUUAAUGCAAUAUCAAGAUGUCAUAAACUGAUAAACAUCUAAUACAGGGGAUACAAGCAUGAAAGUUUAUCACUGUUGGAUAUGCAUUGUUCUUCCAAAGUUUCUCCUCAAUGUGUAGAUUUUCCAGAGGUUUAUAACUGUGUCAGGGUUUUAGUUUCUUUUAUGAUAAUAUCAAGUCUUCUUACUCUUGUUACAUAACCGGACCAAAUCCAUCAAUCAAUCUAGGUUGAGUGUAACUCUUCUAAGGUGGUGAUGAUGAUUUCUUUGAGAAUUUAUUUAUGUGAAAGGAGAAUCUUUUUGCAUUGGUUUAUCAAAUGCAAAGAAUCAAAUCUACCUGCCUUAACGUGGUCUAUUGAAUGAAUGGAUGUUUUCUUGAAAGAAAAAAAACUUAGAUAAAAAAGGCAUAAAAUCAAAAAUUAAUAAUGAAUUUUGGUGUACAAAAACAAUAAUUUUUACAAACAGGUAAAAAGAAGAACACUUGUUAAACUAGCAAAUUCCCUCACCAGACAAAACAUAGAAAACCAAAAUGACAAACAAAUAAAAGAAAAAGUAUGAUGUUCUUCUUUUCUUACCUUUCUAUGACAAACAAAAUGCUCACAGGCUUACAUUAACUUGUAGAGAGGGAGACUAGAUUACCAGUGCAAUACAAAAUUUACAUACUAAGGGUAGCCUUAAUGACUGUGAUUAAAGUGAAGUAAGGGAGAACCUUAAAAACCUCGACCGUCCACCUCAAAAUGAUGUAGACGUUUACAGCAAACCUAAUAUACUGUCAUCAACAUAUCUUGCAUCAUCAUAAAAAGUUUAGGAUGCUCCAAUCUCCUAUAUAGAAUUAUACAUAAGCAAGAAGGGUAUUAUAUGCUCAGAUGUGAUCUGUCAUCUUCAUGGAUCAGUGUAGAUAAAGGCAUGCUUCAUUGCUCUAGGUGCGGCUUUUGCACUUUUCCAUGGCCCUAGGUGCUGCAGGAAUCAGAAUAUAGAUGAGUGAAAAUAUAAAUAUAGAUCAUAAACUUCAUGGAAGCAAUUCAGAGGGACAGUCAGUGGAUGAAAUUGUUUUGUCAAACUAGGAUUUUGUUUUUCAAUUUGAAUGAGAUAAUGACGAGUAUCGUGGUUUUUCCACAUGUUUGGAAAUCCUUGUACAAUUGAUUCUGAAACCAAAAUCAAUUCUGGGGAGAAGCUUAUGAGAGGAACUUCUGGGUGCCUGCCUAUAUUUGAUUAUGAGGAAAAAUAAACUGAUCCAAAUAUGAUAAAGAUGGAAAACAGAGACUAUAACAUAUUCAUCAUAGCAAGUGUUGGACCUACCUAGCCCAAUUGCUUCAGAACUCUUCAUUAUCCUCAGCCUCUUGCAAGAGUCGGUGAACAUCCUAGAAGAAGAAAAAUAAAUCAUGUCAGAUUUCAGAAUGAAAUACACAUUUUUCUCAGACAUUCACUUAGAAAUUAUAUGAAAUUGCACUUACUCCCAGGGAACAUCACCAACUAGCAUCCAAUCACCAUCCUUGUCUUCAUAGGUUAGCACAUAUUCCGAACCAUGAAGGAGAUCCAUCAAUCUACUUUCACUUAAAUUUUCUCGACUAGAAACUCCAUAAGCCCCACAUUGACCUGAACGUGUCGAUGAAAACAUCAUCAGAAUCUGUGACAUAUAAAUACAUCCAGAUUCUAUGCCACUUGUCCAACAUUGGAAUCGACCAAGGUUAAUAAAUUCGUUUCAGCAACAGCUGAACUAUCAAAGUGCGGAUAAGGUAUGUUCACAUUUCCCAUUCAAAUGCAAUUAUUUAUAUAAAAAGCUUUUUUGAGGAAAGAUUGAUUGAACCAUUCAAAUUUCAAAGCACUACUUAUGGUUACAACUAGCUUGAGCCUAUGACAUUCAAAUACCUUAGGUCCUGAUUUGCUUAUAAGAUAUAAAUAGAUGUCAUUUGUGAUUAGGGUAUAUUCUUUAUUUUUUCACUUACUCAAAUAAAAAGUUUCCCAAAUAAGAUUGAGAAUAAUCAGAAUCACCUACAAGUAUUUGUGAUUAUGCAGAUGUGCAAGUGUCAAGACACACAAAGAGCAUGCGAUAAGGUGAUAACAAGUUGAUAGCAACUCACUGAUUGUAAAACAACUGAACAUCUUUUCAAGUGCUGAAGAAAGUUCCCUGUAAGUGCUGAAACUAUUUAGAUCCACUUUCCUCAAGUAUGGAGCACCUUCCAUGCUGACUUUUACAUAAAGGCAUCCAGACUUGGCUUCCGCAUCAGCAUCAUCCUUUUGAGGCUGAGAAGCCAUGGAAUUCUUCCUGAAAGAACGGAUUGGUGGCCAUCCCACAACUUGUGCCCUGAUUCAUACAAGAAAAAUUUACUCAAUAUGAUUGGCCUUGUGCAAAGAGCCCAAAUUGAAAAGAAAAAGAAAAGAGGAAAUUUCAAUUUUAAGGCCAGUGAUUAUACACUUGAAACAAAGGAAUCUAGUUAAUACAGAUCCUCAUGUCUAGGUGAAAGUCAAAGAACACAGCGGAAAAAGAAAAAAAAAAUUCAGCAUCGAAAAUCAUGGAAAAUGAUAGUUGGAGGAGUUCAAAUCCCAAACUUUAUACAAAUAAAUAAAGAAAAUCACAGACAAGCUAGAUGCACAAUUAUGGAACAACCAAAUUAACUAUCUGAUUAUGGCUAAUAUAGAAGGAACAUCCUUUAAAUUGGAUAGAAAUCGAGUAACAACAAUUCCUUUUACGCGGCUAAGGGCAUGUUUGCAAAUUCUUCUACAACUUAUUCUAAAACCAGAAUCAAUUUAAGGAAGAAGAGCUUCUAGAUUCUAGGAAAGAAAACUCAUCCAAACAUGCUAUAACACAAUAUAGUAAGCAACAAUUCAACAUAAUUUCCUUCUUUCAAACAAUUUGUGAAUACACUGAAAAACUAUAAACACUAAAUAGGGGCAAGUCAAAGAGCUAAAGUGGAAGAAGAAACAAUACGGUAAAACAAAACACUUUUUGAAGCAUCAAAUGCACAGAGAGAAACAUAUAUGAAUAGCAAGAAGCAAGUAAAGAAGAAAGAUGAAGCUAAAGGAAGAUGAUACUACUUUGCUCUUAAAAAAAAAAAAAAGCCAUAUUCGUUAGUUGAUUGUUGCAGUUAGGCGCAGCAGAGAGAGCGAGAGAAUUACCGGCAGCACCACCCCGAGGAGAGAACAAGACACCAUCUUUACCAGAACCCAUUUCAGAUCCACCGUUUCCAGAGAGAACCCAGUUCCCAGAACCUCCAUCAAUGGCGUCAGAGAAACCCCUCUUAGCACCAGACAACAAACCCUUAAGCGGAGCUGAAAAACCAUUGGUUCCCUCCCUCUCCGGCGACUCAGAGCCUGGCAAGCCAAGCCUCAGCUCAGUGGCUUUGAGGUUCAAGCCAGCGCUCCUCUUUGUGAAAUUCUCAGAGCUUUCCAUUGAAGUAAAAGUAACCUCUGUUACAGACAUCAAACCACCUCGUCAAACACAACCUUCAAACUAUUGUAGAAAUCACAAAACAGAGGAGGAGAAGAAGAAGAGAAAGAGAAGAAGAAGAAUGAACAAGGAACAGUGGAAAAUGUUGAAGAAUCUGUGAAGCUUGUUGGGUUGUUGUGUUGUGUGUUAAGUAGAGAUGAAGGGACCAAAACGAGGAGAAAAUAAAUAUGCUACAGUUUGUGUUUUGCUUUAUUCUGCAAAUUUAUUUAUUUUAUUUUGUUUGGUUUAGUUUAGUGUUUUUUUGUAAAUAAAUUCAUGUGAAUCUUUUUGUGGCCAACUACUCCGACAACCCACAGAAAGUACCGGCAUACUUUCUUAUUUUAACAUCUUUUAUGAAAAUUAUAAAAAAGGAAUUCGAGUCAUUAAGGGUUGCCAGAGCAUCUCCAAUGCAUAGUUGCUAGUUGGGUUGCUUAAAAACUAUUUCGGUGGGUCCAGACUGACACAUAUGAUUUAAGCAACCCAAGCNNNNNNNNNNNNNNNNNNNNNNNNNNNAUGAAAGAAGAAAUAUGAUUUUUUAGUCAAAAAGUAAGGAGAGAGAAAAUAAGCAACCGUUGCUUAAAUUUAAGCAACCCAACUGUCACGUCAUGUUGCUCCAGUGGUGCUCCAAAAUAAGCAACGUUGCUUAAGUUGCCAACUGGAUUUAAGCAACUCCCAUUGGAGAUGCUCUAAUGUGUUCAACUAAACUAAAAACAAGUUUUGACAAAAAAAAAACUAAAAACAAGCAGAUUUUUAGUUUUGUUUAAUGGUGAGAUCAUUAGUGAAAGAAUGAUCAACGAUGAUCCUAUCCAAAAGGAGAAGGAGGAGUCAUUCUUCUUUGAAGAUCGAGGAACGGAGUUUCGAACAAUUAUGUCAUGUCAGAAGUCUUUUAUAUGUAACUUUGCUUUCUCAGACUCUACAAGAUAAAAAAAGUUAAAGACAUGAAAUAUAUAUUGAGGCAUAUAAUAAGAGGAAAUUUUAAUGAAUUAAUAGAAAAUUUAAAGUUAUCUUACUUCUCUUUAUAUAGUUCUCGACUUCUAUAGCUCAAUUAUCAUAUCAUAGAAGUAAUAUUUGAAGCAUUUUCAGCGUUUUUAAAUAAUCCCAGCAACUCAUUGUUUGCUAAUUGCAAGUGGUCUGUUUAGGAUGAAUGAAUUGAAUGAUAGCUCUAGUUACAGUAAUUUUUAAGAUAACUAAAUAUAGAAUUUUAAAAUUGUGCACUCCAUCAAACAAUGGUUUACAAUUUUUUUUUUUUUAUAUAAGCCUUUUAUAUAUAAGCAAAACUAAAAUUAAGGAAAUUCGCGCGAAAAAACUGAGUUGGUGGGAGACAAAACGCCGUAUACUUUGAGAAGUGAACUCUAUUGAUGAGCGUGCCCUUGUCCAAUGCAUUAUAUAAUUUUCUUUCUGAAUAAAAUAAUUUUCUGUGCUAAAUUAAAGAUACUAUAAAAGAUUAAGCAAAAAUGACAUCUUUGUUUUAUGUCAUUAAAUAUAGUAGUAUAUAGUUAUCGAAGAUACUUCAUGCUUGAGUUGAGUUGAUACCCAAUAGACACAUGGAAAGAUGACCAACAUGUUAGUUUAUUCGGUUGAUUUUGAUCACUUAACAAUUUCUAAUUAAUUAAAGUUGGUUAUGUAAGGAAGCAGAUUAUUCAAGGACCACAUAUAUAUAAACUAAAGUAGUCUAUCUUCUACUAGUAACACUUUGAUGCACAUACAUAUGUAUUGUCCCCUAACUUUGUGACAAUUAGCUCCACUAACUAUAUUUUUAAUUUUGACACAAAUCAUAGUUCUUCGAAUCCAAGGGUAAACAAAUUCAUUUUGAGCUAUGUGUAUGUAUAUUAAUAGAGAGGUCUUACAUGAACUCCACCCAAGCGAAUGACAUCUGAUUAACAUAUCGUUAAGUGAUAAUUUUUUACUAUCACUAAACAUGAAGUAUAAAAAAAAGAUUUAAUUGGUGUUUUUUUAUCUCCACCAAUAAAUAACCAAUUAAAAUUCUAAGAAUUUUGUGGUGUCUCGCAUAUUUUUCAAUUGUAAUUUCUAACACUCUUUAUUUUAACAACUGUUUAAGUAAUUUUAACUACGCUAACAAAUAAUUAAAUGUCAAUUCAAUUUAAAAAACUAUAAAAAAAUUAUUAAAUUAUCUUUUUCUUGUAUCUAAUUUUUUUUACAGGUUACAUUAAUCUUUGCUAUAACAAAGUGCAUAUAACUAAAUGACUAAUGAAUGGAACAAAAGAAUGAGCAAUAUAAUUUUAUGCAAGGACCCGCAUCUCUAAAGUGGAUUCCAUUAUGAAAAUUCUUACUUAUAGUUAUGGACCCUAAGAAAAGCAGUGCUAGCAGCAUUGUUAUUGCUGAGUGCUUCAAUUUCUCUCACUUUAUUCCCCUAUCCUCAAACAUAAACUAUGAUGGCACUCCACUAUCUUUGCAAAGAGGCUUUCUCUGGUUGUGGGUUGUUUGGCUAAGCCCAACUGUGUGCAGAUUUGGAAACACAUUGAAAAAUUAUCGUGAAAUUAAAAUCACAAUGAACAAUCACAAAAAUUAAGAGAAGUUACUGUACAUCAUAAUUUUGGCUCCGCAUGUAUCCGAAUAUUCAUUACACCGUACUCCUAUAUCCUAAUCUUAUAAUCCUGUUUGAUGGUUGUGCCCAUUUGUGGUGUUAAAUGUGCCUUCCACUACCAUCAUAAUAAGAUAAGCCUCACCUUUUAAUUCCCCACUUACCAGGAUCUUAAUCUUUUUUCUCCAUUACUCAAAGCAUCGCAUCCAGUCUUAGGGCAAAGUAAUCCCCAUGCAUUAAAUCUUCUUUUUUGAGAUAAGUGCGAAUCAUUAAGGAGAGUAAUAAUUAUUUUGACUGUUUGAUCAGCCUUUUACCUAUCACAAGCAACUGGAUCCGCCACAGGUUUUGUUUUGUUCUAUCAGUAGAAAGCCAAGAUCUAACCAAAAAGAAAAGCUAAUUAAGAACAGCAACACCUAGAAAGACCAAAUAAAAAGUGAGAUGGAAAAGAAUCACAGCUACUAACAAGGGACUUCAAGAAAUUAAGUAUAUGUUUGGAAAUUCUUCUACAAUUGAUUCUGAAUUGAUUAUGAUGAAGCCAGAAUCAAUUAUGCAAUAAAGCUUUUGUAGUAGCUUAUCAAUUUUAGAAUUAACUCUAAUGAAAGAGAAGUUAAUCCAAACAUGUUAUAAGUAUCAAAUGACUGUGAUAAUGGGACCAAAGACUUUUCUGAUAAAGGGUGGAAGACAUGAUGAAUCUGUAAAACAACACUCUCUUGACCCCAUCAUGGAUUUGAUUAAACAUCAAGUGGAGUCCCAACCAACUUUUUCAAUUCUGUAGUCCUAAAUGGACUAUCAUAUCCUUGUAAGAAUAAUUGUACUCUCUCUAUAUCCAAUAAACUAGAUUAGAGAAACAAGGACCCACAAUUUCAGUUGCUUGCUCAAGAUGCUGCUUACAAAAAUAAAUAAAAUAAAAAUAAAAAUCAUACAUGUCUGUGUUUGAGUGGUCUUGAAUAUAUCUGCAUCAACAUUAUCACAAUUCAUAGUUUAAUUACAACUAUAGCUGUGAAUAUGAAAUGGUAAUCUAGCAUUUAAGAGUUUCUUAUUGAAAAUUAUUUAUAAGAUCAAGGUAGGUGAAGUAAACCAUCUUUCCAUGGCCAAUCAGAUAUCACAUGUUAUUUUUAUUUGUACAAAGUCUUUUGUUUGUUAAUAGGGGGGAGGGUUUUGAAUCUGGAAUAUUCAUAGAAUCAACUUCCCGUUUCUUAGAAUCAACCGACACAUAAAAGCUACUUCCAUAAGAUUCUUCUCAGAAUUAAUUUUCGUGCUAAAAUCAAUUAUUGAAGAAUUUUCAAACAUGUAAGUCGAGAUCCUAAAAAUGGGCACUGUUAAGAGAAUGCUGUUAGUGUACAAAAGAAAGAAAAAUCAUGCAAAGGUGUUUGUCUUUUUCUUUGCAUGGAGUGGUUAGAUUGCGCAUCGACGGAGUCCCAAACUAAAAAGAUUGUAUAUGGAUACUAGGCAGAAAAGUGCUGAUUCAGAUAUCAGCCUAGCAUAAUGGUGCAGAAAGAACACCUGAGAGAGGGAUGCACCAAAAAGAAAAUCGGCUAUGUAAGUAAAUGGAAUCCAUAAAGGCCACUACACCAACACCAACAACAAUAAUUGUAAAACCUCUUGGAAAACUACAAGCAUUGCCUACUAGUUACUACAAAACGGAACAAGGACAAAAUGCUCACAAAAAAAGUUAAUCAUGGAUUGGCAUUUGCUUUGGCUUGGACCAACCAUUUUGGUAAUGAUCUAAGCCAUGGAAGAUGUUGAUGAACUCCGUGAAGAAACCAUAUAUGAAAAUAUUCAAAACCAGAAGGAAAGACUUACGGAUUCAAAAUUUAAGCAUGUGUUUUGGCACUCACAUCACUUUUGGAAGCUAAUAAACGUGUAUGUCCAUUUUGAAAUUAUUGCUCCAUCAUCAUUUUUUCUACUUGAUUAGCACAAGGAAGAUUGUAAGUCACAAAAGUGGAAUCCAAGCACAGCACUCUGCCCAAAUCAGGUCUUGUUUGUUCUCAAUGGAAUUCCCAUUUCACAUUUUUCACUAAAGGAGACAGUCUUAUCAAAAGCUUUUAGGCAAGGUUUCAAUCUUGUCAUAUAGCACAACUAAGUGGUGAGAUACUUUAGAAAGCUUAAUGAAUUCCAGCUUGCAAUGCAACCAGCAAGGGCCCAUGCAUCAAACAUGAAUUAUUGACACUCAAGGGGAUUGCAUCUCACUCCAUGUACUAUGAUUAAAUUAGAUACAUGUGUUAUGGACCAGAUUCUUGGCUCAGUCCAGACCCAUCCAAUCUACAUGGGCCAGCCCACAUUGGCCCAUUCCACAUUGCACAAAUGGUCAGCCUGCUCGGCCAACCGAGCCGAGCUGCUACACGGUCAAGCGUGAUUUAGGUUGAGUUGGUUCAAAUGCAAUGCACGACGUUUGGAAUCAAUAGAUCCUUAUCUCCUAAAAUUUUCUUUCCAAAUCCCAGCCGAGCCGGACUGAACAGUAUGGUUCCUUUUACAAUAUUUCUUCAAAAUCAUAAGAUGGCUAUCUAACAAUGCUGUUGCAACCUUUGGCAAUUCUGGAUCCAUGGCUUGUUUUUUCAACAACAGUGCAAUUAUGAUUGUCUGCCAGCUGGGCGAUUAUUGGAAUGAACUUGAGGUAGUGAAGAACAUGACAAGAGAGAAAUACAAGUUGCCCUUUACCAAGGUAAAAUCCCACGUUUCUGUCUUCUCCGUAUCUUGAAGUCGACAAACACAUACAUCCUUUAUCUUGUAUAGAGUACCAACAAAGUCCGUACUGUGAAUUAUAUGCUAAUUGGGUUACCUUUGAUAUGGACGGUGGUGAGUAGGAUAAAUAUAGUGUGUUUGGAAAUCCUUUUAUAAUUAAUUCUAAAAUCAGAAUCAAUUAUGAAGAGAAGUUUAUGUGAGUAGCUUUUAUGUGUCAUAACUGAUUCUGAAGAAAUAAAAGUUUUUUUUGUAUGUUUAAACCACAUGUAAUUUCUACUGGGACAAUCAUGUUUGAGUCGGGUAGGACCUCUAUGGACGGCAAAGCUCUCCGUAUCAAAUAUUUAAUAAAUUGGAUUCAUAGGGACUCGAACUCGAGUCCUCUGUUUAAACUAUAACAACCUCGUUACGUCGCUGAUGCUUCAUUAUCUUGAGAUGAAGUAUGAUUAUAUUUAUAGACAUUCUAUAAAUGUGGAAACAGGAUAUUCAGUGAAGUAAUAGUAUACUCGUUCUCUAUAUUAUUGACUCAAUGUCCCUAUCAGUCAACCAUAGUGGCAUUGAAGUUGAAUUUCAGGGUAAGAUAAGAGAAAGAGAAAAAGAGCAUGCACUACCUUUUCAAAAGAGCACCUGCAACGGCUCCUAAUGUUUUGCUAUCACCCUUUCCACUCAUUUUCGCCAUUCUUGAGAGCCGCCAAUAAAGAUGGCAGCUAUCAAAAUCCCUAUCUGUGUGCAAGGGGCAAAGGCAUUCUUAAAUCUGUUGUAGUAGGUACAUAACCAAUGAGUUAAAAACGGAAUAGGAGCUAACUAAUUAUUGAUAUCUACACUACAUAAAUUGAUCCAUCAGUCAAAAAUUAAGUUAAACUCAAGUUUAGAUUGAUAAAUUGAGCUCAAAAUCGUAAAAAAUAACAUCAAGGUCGGCCAAUAUUCCAAAGCCAGUGAAUGACAUGCUGAUGUGAAUGGGACCAUGGAAGACUUUGAGCAUUCUGUAGUGAAAGACUUUGACAUUUGAGCACGUAUAAGGAAAUUUUAACGAGUGCUUGGUGGAGUUGACUAUGGAUAACUGACAUGCAUAAGAGCAAACAUCAAGCUAUGGCUCCUUGUGUACAAAUCACACUAAUUGCUAUAUUUGCAAUAUAAGCAAAAAAAGAGGGCACUAGAGGAAAUUUUGACUUACAGGUGGAAGUAAUUAUGUUUUUUUUCUUUUUCAAAGAUGAUGUUGAUGUUCGAAAAAAAUAAAAUAUCAUUGGACAUGAUAUUUCAAAAAGAAGUGCGAGAAAGACAUGCCUCCAUUACUAUAGAGAACUAGAGAUAAUGUGAUAUGUGAUAGUGAUAUAAGAAUUUGAAUCCCACUAAAAAGGCCAUGUUAUUAGGAACACUAUCAAAUACUUAAGAGGAAUAAUCAGUCACAGUCUCACAGAUAAUAGUUAUAGAAACGCUUAAUAGGAGAAAAAUGAGUAUGUAAUGUAAAGAAAAGAGCUUUAAUCUGUCUGCCUUUGCCCACAAUAACAGUUGAUUUGAUAUGAAUAUCCACGAUAACUAAUUGCCCAAGGUAUUUCAAGAAGUGUGUAUUUUAUUUUGGAGCUGUCUUUCAAUCAUAUACUGCUCUUCGUGUAGGUUAAGAUCACCAAGCUGAAAUCAUGAAGUAUUGUGUUCAUGUGCAAAAUCGAUUCAUUCUGAGGUUGCUUUCAGUAGUUCAUUCCAGGUGGCCAGUUUUUCCCUAGGCUUGUUCCUUGAACUUCCAAGCCUCCUUUCUUCAGAGUCAAUCUUUUCCCAAUCACCAAAUGAGACUACUCUGACAUUUCUAUCAUGCAGAAGCUGGAGAAGACCGUCCCUACCAGGUUUUGGCGAGGACAUUGAUGAAAUCAAAAGUCCUCUUUCAAUGUCUUCUGAUAUGCUCGAAACCUAUCAUUUCAAAAUUGUCAGCAGAUGAUAAUGCAAUGCUAGUAUAAAGUAUACAUGCAAACCUUGGCUACCCUGCCUUAGUCCCCACUGUUAUUUAGUGGUAGAGCCAAAAAAAUGAAUAUAACAUUAAUGUUGUAACAUUAUACAGGAUCAGUAUACACCAUAACCAUGAAAAACUACAGCUAAAUAACAUUUGUUGUGGAUUAUAGUUAUCAUAACAAAUGUAACUGCCAGCAACUGAUAUAGCUGGCUUAAUUUACAUGAUUGCCAUGUGCAGGAUCUGUACAAGAUAUAAGAUCCAAUAACAUAUACACCCUUUCUAGUCUCGCAUUCAUAAUGUAGCCUAACUCAAAAUACUAAAUGAAUAAACAUAAAUGCAUGAUCUGUUUAAUGAUAAACGCGUAACAAACUAACUACCAAAAAGCUCAAGAUCAAGCUCAUCAUUCAUUUUAGAAAUAAUAUGAAUAGAAAAGCAAGAGAACAUACAGUUUCUUCAGCACAAUACAGGUUUGUGGCAAUAAUCCCUGUUGGUCCUCUCUUCAACCAACCACAUACAUACAAGCCUUCUUCAAGUGCUGUAGGAUCUAAAGUGUCACUCAACACUCGACCUCUAUCAUUUGGAACUAUACCUGAAAGUUAGCCAUCAUACAUACAAAUAUGAGAUCCUGUCAGAUGACGCAUAUAGAUGCCCAGGCAUCAUGCUUAAACACCAAUCCAAUUUUUUCAUAAAUAAUAAUUCAUUAACAAAAAGGAUAGACUACAGAGCAGGAGAAUUAGGAAUCUUUUCCUAAAGCUACAGUGAAAAGAGGAAAGAAAGUAAAUGAAAUGAGUAACUGAGUCCAUCUGAAAUGAGCAUUGAUUCAAACAUAGGUUUUCCACAAGAAAACAUGUAACAUGAAUUUACAAAAAAUUGUAUUGAAAGAAAAUUGAUUGGGAAAUUCAUUACUCAUUCACCUUUCCUAUGAUCAAAAGGUAAGCCAUCAACUGGGACUGAUUUGUAACCAAUACUCUUAAGUGCCAUCCUACAAAAAAAGCCAGCAAGUUGCAAGGUAUCAGUAACUACUCUCAACAUUUUGUGUCCAGGAGGCUAGUCAGUCAUUUACAGAGCAAAAUGAUAAACUUUUUACUUUAUGGAGCAAAUGGAGUAUAGCCACUUAUGGAUCUUUGAUUAUAAUGAUGCCAGAAGAAACGAUUUCACGCAAAGUAAAUACAAAUUUUAUAACUAGGAAUCUUAGAGGAUAACAUGAUACCCGCAUUUUGUAUCUUCAAACUCUCCAGUACCAAUGGCAAUCUGUUUUCCAGGGCCAGCACCUGUAAAAUUAUGUUGACUAAUCAAAAGAAAUUCAUUGAACAAGAAUUAGACUACAUGGACAUAAAGGUGCUAGUAUUUAGCAAAGCUUCAAGAAAUGUUUAUAAUUAAUAUCGUAGGAAAGCCCACCAGUGCAUAUAUCUGCACUUGGGUUGCAUUUGCACAACAAUAAAUUAUGCCAAUUCUUAACUAUUAACAUAUCAUAUCACAUUAGUGCCUAUAUUGUAACAAAUUAAACAUGAAGAAACGAAAAUUACCUUUUAGAACUGUCUUCUCAAAGUGCACUCCAGAAACAUGGCCAGCUCUCUCUUCUGACUCUUGAAAACUAUCUGGCUUUCGGAAGAAGACAAAAUGGAGCUCACGUUGGUUCAAACCAGCUUGUUUGGGUCUCGAAGUAGCUGCCUUAGAUAGCAACUCAUAAACUCUUCUCUGUAUUCGGCUACUCUUAAGUUCUUCCUUUGCCAAGUGACAUAUCAGAGAUAAAAACAUGACAAUAUCAGUGAAAAGGAAUCCAGUUUUCUUUAAUUACUGAUAAAGAUUUAAAGGAUAAGAUACCUGAAUAGAAGAUACAAAACAGGAAAUUAUGACUAAAAAAAGCAAUUAGAAAAAACAUACUACUUGGGGUAUCUGUAUGUUUUUUGAGUGAAGAAGAUAGAAAGAUAGUGGAGAUAGGGGAGAAAAUAGAUUCAUCGUAUACCUCAUCGGACGGGGUCAAAUGUAAAUCAGAUUCCUGUAUGAAAAUAUUAAGGUUAUGAAUGCCUGCAUGUAAAUGUCCAAGCUUCAGUUAGUGUCAUGUGUGAGAUGGGUAUGAUGUAAAACUACAGUAUAUGACGAAUAAUAAAUUGUUUGGAAGUAAUUAGCACCAACACAGACAAGAUGGGAAACCAAUAUAAUAUUUAAGAUGAUGGGCCAAAAAUACAUGAUCAGGGUUCCAUUUUCAGUUCAAAUUGUCAUCUUAAGGUCUUCAAUGGUUUCAAAUCAAUGAUACAUGAGUAGAGUAAAUAGAAACAGGUGCAAAGUAAGUUGUAGGACUGAUAAAUAUAGGAAAAGAAGCUAACAUGAGACUGCGAUCAAUGAAAUCAAUGGAGAAUGAAAAAACAAAUUAACAAGUGAUCACUAGGCAUGCUAAUUGAGAAGUAUUGGUCUACAAAGGAAACUUCAAUUCCAAUAAAGAAUAGCAUUAUGGACGGUGUUCCCCCCUUUCCACACGGCUCCACAGAACAACACCAAAAUAAAUGUAUCAAACAAAUAUGUAUAAGAAAACUGAGUGGGUAACUUAAACUUAGUAUGAGUUGAUGCAAAAGUUACCAAGAACUUCACGUAAUUCUUUUGCAGUACAAGCCGCUUGGGAUGGACCACGUCUUCCAACCAAAUAAACUACCCUGCAAUAUUGCUUAUAUUACUAAAACCAACAUAUGGAAUAUCAAAAGCUCUAUUUCUAUGUGGCUGUUUCAAAAUUCAAACAAUGCAACUAAAUACCUGAUAGAGCUCUCCUCUAAGGUAGCCAAAGCAUGACCAGCAAUAUCUGUUGUUGCUAACUCAGUACUAGGUCGUAAAAGAAUACGUGCGACAUCUAGUGCAACAUUUCCCUGAUAUUAGAUAAAACCAUUUAUCCAAACCUCAAUCCAAGUGAAAAUUAAAUUUGUUUAUUCCGGAAAGUCUACUUCACAAGUGCUUUCUUAAAAUUCAUUAAAUGUGUCUUUUCUCAGAAAGAAGUAACAUAUAAUUCGCUCAACUAAGAUUUGUUAUAAAAUCUAGGGACCGAAGAACAUGGUAAAAAGUUACCUGACCAAGAACUACAGCUGUAUCAGAGCUCUUCAGGUCUGGAUUAAGAUUUCGUCCAUCUGGGUGCCCAUUAUACCACCAAACAAACUCUCUAGCUGAUAGUAUCCCUUUCAAGUUCUGAGAAGAAAAAAUAUAAAAGGCAUUAAAAUACAACUGUAAAAGUAACUCAAAAUAUCAGCAGAUGCAUUACUAUAGCAGAAUAAAUGAAUAUAAUAAAAAGUCAUCACUUAUCCUACAGGAAAUACAAGAAAUUCAAGUAAAUAUUCUUAUAAUUCAGGAAAAAAGCAAAUAAGGAAAUCAAGCAUACUUCGCCUGGAACACCAAGACUUCUAUCACUUUCAGCACCAUAUGCGAGGACAACCUGUUCAAAUGCAUAAACUGGUUAUUGAAAAGAUGGUACAACUGACCAAUAUGCACAUUUACGUGUUACCACUAAGAUAACAAAUCCAGAACCAGAGCCUCACCACAUGAUACAGCUCGCGCAAUUCAGAGAGAGAGAUGCUGGAUCCAAGGGUCACAUUUCCAAAAAACGAGCAUCGUUCCUGUUGCGCCACCCUUGAGAAUUGGUUGGCGACAAUCUGUAGCAAGUUUUCUGGUAAACUAAGCUCAUUGGAGUUACUCUCACCAAAGAAACAUAUCGAAAACCCCACCCCAGCUAAAAUUUUGAAAUACUUUUUCCAAGUAAACCCCCAGUUAGAUUGUAAAUUUGGCAGCAAAGUGCAAACACAUUAGUUCCUCCUAGAAAUGCAAAAAAAAAACUCAUCUUAGUCCCAGAGAGUCACACAUUAGUCCCUAAAGAUAAAUAUGGCCAGCAUUUGAGAUUCUUAUAAACAAAAAUGAGAUUUUUAUAGUAUCAUUUCAGUGGUUAAAUUGAGGGUUCAUUCUUUUCAAUUUUCUCUAUAACACCAAAAUAGCCACAACUAAUAACUUCUUGUUGAAAACAACUUCCACAAGUAUCAUCAUAUCAUAUAUAAGGCCUGUUAAUAGCGCGCUAUAGCGUAGCGCUCUGGGGUUCACUGCUACUCCACUAUUCACCGUUAUUUGCUGCUAUUGUCCGCUAUAGGGCUCGAGCCGCUACGCUACGCUAUCCGCCAUUAACAACCCUUACAUUAUGAAAUAUACCAAUGCUAAUGAAUCAAUCAUGAAGUUCACCAGUUACAGAGGAAUUCAUGCUGCAAAUAACAAUGGACCUUAGUAUCAGGGUGAUCGGGUGCGACACCGGAGCGGACCAAUCCAAAAGGCGUAGGCAACCUGUCAAUGAUAUCAACUCGUGCUUGUUGGUGCGCCUUCAACAUCUUCUCAGCAGUGUAGAAACCAGCAGGGCCGCUUCCAACAACACACACCCGCAAAGGGUUUCCAGAAAUGCUCGAGAAGCUUCUACAGAGCAACCUUCUUGCGUGCAAAAUCGUCAUCUCCGUUUUGUGCAGUGAACGAGAAACUCCCUAUUCUGCUCUCUACUGGCAGAGGCUGCUCCCUUUGGUGGCCGGAACCCAACCUCGCCGGAAAGCCACUAUCACCACCUGGUUUGGCUCUUGGGCUCUUUGGGCUUGUCUCCUUUACACUUGCUUUUGGUGGGCUUUUAUUCUUCUGUUUUAUCCCAUGGACAAACACAAACCUCUUUUUUGAUUAAAUAAAAAACAUAACAAAACAAACCACUUAUAAUCAAUUAUAUACAUUAUAAGUGCAUGUUUAGAAAUCAAGGGCAAGUCUCAAACGUGUAUUCAACUAAUCAUAAUUUCAAAAUUGUAUUAAUUCAUGUUCAACACCAACAUAAUUCUGUUUUGAAAUAUAAAGGCACCCUGGUUAUAAAUAAGUCUUUGGGGAACUUAUCUAUCUAUCUAUCUAUCUAUCUAUCUAUCUAUCUAUCUAUCUAUCUAUCUAUAAACUAUAUAAAGGGAGAGUUUUUGCAGCCUUGGGGGUAAAUCUGUCAAUCAACAAAUAAUUUCAAAGACUAUGAAGCUUGACCAUGGAUAUUUUGGUAAAGAUGCAUUUUAUUUCACUUGGAUUGAAUCUCAGCCGUCCACUUCAUAGCGCUCAUUGUCUUUCUGCAUUCCCAAAUGCAUUCACUAAACUUAAUUGUAAAAAUCAAUGCAUUCAUUCGUAUGGGAUCCUAAAAACCUUUGAAGAAACCUUCAAUAUUCUUCAGUUUUUUUAAACCUUUCAUCUUCUUUAUCUUUGCUUUUUAUUUGGUUUAUAGUAGAUUCGGUCAUAGGCGUUUCAAGCUUGAUCAAACUCUCAAAUGGUGAAUGACUUUUCAUUGUACUUUUUGCUUUUUCCUUCUAUUAUAUCAUUUCUUUGUCUUUUGCAAAUUUUUUAAAAAGUGAGUGUGUCUAUCAACGUUUGAGCUUCUAAUUUAGAAUAUUAUAAUUUGGUUUUUGUUAAUUUCAGGUUCAAACUGUGCGAGUGGAGAAGAUGAUAUAUUAGGCUGCUGCCAGACGUUCGACAGCUGGUUCGAGACAGUUCUUCACUUGGGGAGGACCAAGAGCGUAACGACUACUACGGAACCCUUCGGGUUUAGAGCUUACUAAGGUUGGGUGUUAGUGUCAUAGCUCUGACUAGUCGUGUCUAUAUUUGGGGCAGGGUAGGUCCCCGACGCAUUACUUUUUGUGUGGUUCCCUGCCAUGGGGAUCACAGAGAGUAGUCGGACAUUAGGAAAUCUAGAGGAGGCUGUUUUGAGUUGACUCUCUCAUGUUUUGGAGGACUAUACUUAUAAACUUCUCACUUGAUUUAUGGACUUGUACUCUUUUGCCUUCGGGCUCACUUUCUGUCGCUUGUCAAUACUUGUGACACUUUUAGUUACAGCAGAGCUAUAAUAGUAUUGUAUAUUAGUUUAUGUUUAUCGCAUUUUGGGUUGCGUCUUUAUUCUGAAAAUGUCUUUUAUUCUAAAAAGAAAACGAAAAAAAAAAAUGUCUGCUUUUCUGCUUUGUUUUAUUUUUGAGUUACUAAGUGACACCCGAAAAUCGGGGUGUUAAAAAAAAAGCAGUGUUUUAAGACUGGGCUCGGUCAUCGACUCGGCUGAGGUACUGAGUCAAUGAUCGAAUCAGUGAGUCAUUGGGUGGAUUGCUUGACUCGGUGUCUAUUAAAAUAUUUAAAAAAAUUGAUAUGAUAUUAUUAAGUGAAAUUUUAACAUGAAAAGAUGCAAUUCCUCUAACUCACCGAGGCCUUAUAGUUCACACGCUUAGUUUCUUUCACUACAAAUAAAUUUAAUCCCACUUGAUUUACAUAUUUAAUCAGAAAAAUGGAAUUGUGAAUGGUAUUUCAGUUCUCCAUGUAUAAUGGUUUUUGAAUUGUGGAUUUUGACAGUAAAAAAAUUCUCUAUUUAAACGUGUUGGGCUCAUGGCCCAUUUAGUCAAGAAACCCUAAUUCUUACUUUAGAUAUUAGUAUUACCACUCAACAGAAACCUAGCUGCACUACCUCUCUUAAAAGCAAUGACUUUUCUACUGUAGUCUGUAUGUGUCGAUGCCUUGCCUUAUGCAACAACAAGUUAUUGUUUUCCUCUCUUCUUCUUGUGAACCCAGACAAAGCUUAAUUUGGAACCCUAAAAUCAAUUUAACCAAAAUCCGCAAUGCAGAAUCCAGACAAAGCCUAAUUUGAAAAACCCCCAAAUCAAUUUAACCAAAAUCCCCAACUUUCAACCCAGACAAAGCCUAAUUUGGAAAAGCCCCAAAUCAAUUUUACCAAAAUCCCCAAUUUUCAACCCAAAAAAAACCCUAAUUUGGAAAACCCCCAAAUCAAUUUAAUCAAAAUCCCCAAUUUUUAACCCAAAAAAACCCUAAUUUGGAAACACAUCCCAAAUCGAUGUUCAUUCUCAAAAAAAUCACCCUUUUCCCAAAAUCAUUAGUUUAAUUAACAAAAAACUCUCAAUUUUUUACAAAAUCACAACACUAGAGAGAAUCGAAACACAUACACGUCAGAGGAAGCGGAAAAUGCGAUGCCAUGAGUGGACAACGACAAUCGCAGAUCUGGAGUCGCGAUGUGUACGAUGUGAGACCGGAGGUGUGGAUCUGAAGCGCGAAUCGGUAGAUAUGAAUAGAGGUGCGAACAAAUGCCUUUGAUGAUGGCCAUGGCUGAAGUGGCUGAAGAGGAGAUCACAAGAACACAUUUGGGUUUCGACGGACGCAUGGAAAGAAGACAAAAAAACACGAACCCUAGCUCGAAGAGAAGCGACGAGAACGAUGGUGGGUGUGGGUUUGGAACGACGGUGGCUGUGGUGUGUGGUUUGGAACGAGGUUUGGAACGAUGGGGAUCCUGCUCUGGAGGCAAAGAACCCUAGAUGAAAGUUCUAGAGGCUGAAUGAUUUCAGGUACUUGGGUAUUGAUGGGUUUACAGUAAAUUGAAAGGAAUUAAUGGAAUAUAGAUGGGUAGAUGGGAUAAGUUAGAGUAACUUUAAUGUUUAACUGAUGGUUAAAAUUUUAAAAUUUUUAACUUCUCAAAUUUACCUUAUUUAUUUACCACAUGGUUUAACCGUUAAAUCAUACUUAUCAUUCUCUAGUUUUUUACCUAAUCAUUCUAUUAUAUAUUAAGUAUUUUAAUUUUCGAAAAUACCAAAAAUACAAAAAAACUUAGAGAUUAAUUUCUAUGCACCGACGGUGUACAAAUUUUUACACCAUCAUUCAAUCACAACCUUCCAUUUUCUAUUUUAGAUAUUAUUAAAUUUAAAAUUAAUUGUGAGCUAAAAAAAUGGAGGGAUGUGAUUGAAUGAUGGUGUAAAACUUAUUUACACCGUCGGUGCAUAGAAAUUAAUCUCAAAAACUUAAAGUAGGAGGUCAAAAGGCCUUGGUGUAACUAUGCACAAGUUUUUCCUUGUGCAUAGUAAAUUUUUCCCAUAACAUGUAGCGGUACUCUUUACUUUAUAUUUCACAAAAUUUUGAGACAUGUUUCAUUCACACCUUCCCUUGCUUUUCCACCUUUAUUUUUUUUUUUAUCUAUUUCACUCUUCUCUAUCAAUCAAAUCAUAUAUCACAUAUUUACUUUCUCUUUUUUCUUCCUAUCUCUCUCCUCCUCUACCUCUUUCUACCUCAACUUUGAGGUGUGAACAAAAGAUUACUCCAAAAUUUUGCAUUACAAAUUCAUGCUCAACAAAGAAGUAUCUGUACAUUUGGGGAAAAUAAGAGCCCUUUUCAGCUUUGAAGACUUCUAUCCCACAACAUAUAAAAGCAUUUCAUCUGGUUCCUUUAGAAAACUAGAACAAAAAAAAACUAAAUGUGACUAGAAAACUUUCACCUUGGACCUGAGAGCUCCAUGGCCUGGACUAAAAAUGAAGAGUCAUCAGUAAGAUCAGAAUAUCUAUUUGAUGCAGAGAGCUCAUGUGGUUUGCACUUAGUUGUGUCAGCAUUUUGUGAUGCUUCCCAUUUAUCUACUAGCCCAUCACCUUCAAGCAUGCGUACAACUUCAGACAUUUUGGGUCUGUGCCCUGGAAGAUAUUGUGUGCACAAGAGUGCCACUUGAACCAUUUCCUCCAGCUCAAUCCUGUCAUAGUUGUUCUUCAGAUCCUUGUCAAUAAGCAACUCAAGUUGCUUCUCCUGAUGAAUUUUCUUUACCUAAAUGUCAAGUCAUCAACAAUAUAAGUGUUAAAAUAUGUCUUAUAUUGACCAGAGAUAUAGCAUCCGGAGUACUUAUAAAGAGUAGGACAAUCCUCACCCUAAGCAAACUUUUGAGUUGUGAUUGACCUAAUACAAAUUCUAAUAAGCUAUUAGAGUUAAUCCUAGAUCCAUUGUUCGGUCACCCGUGAUGGGCCACCCGCUGAAAUUGAAUAUAAAUAAUUGACCUGACCCAUCCAAUAUAUAUGUUGUAAUGGGGAUACGGGCAAUCAACCUGACCUGCCUGAGUGUAAGUUUUGUUAUCUCCAUGCUUAACAUGUCUAGUUCUGAGCGUAAAGGGUAUUAAAGGUCUCACAUUGACUAGAUAUAUACAUCACUCAUAAGCUAGCUUUUAGGGUAGAGUUAGGGCCGACGCAAUUUCAAAUAAUUUCAACUUCAUACGUUUAAGGUAAAGAAGAAGGAUUUAAAUGAAUGAUAAAGGGAGGAAAGGUUACCCAAUCAAGCAUGGCUCCUUUUUGGUAUGCUACCUUCCCAAAUUCUAGAGCUCUGUGGCCAGUGACCAAUUCAAGAAGCAAAAUGCCAAAUCCGAAGACAUCAGUCUUUUCAGAAGACUGUCCUGUGGAGAGAUAUUCUGGUGCAAUGUGCCCCACAGUGCCCCUUACAGCAGUUGUGACAUGUGAAUCUUUGUGAUCUAAAAGCUUUGCCAACCCAAAAUCUCCAACAACUGCCUCACAAUAAUCAUCAAGCAAUAUAUUUGCAGCUUUCACAUCUCUAUGGAUUAUCUUUGGAUCACACUGCUCAUGAAGGUAUAACAAUCCCCUUGCUGCUCCUAAGGCAAUUUGCUUCCUAGUCCUCCAGUCCAAGACAGGUUUACCUGGAGAUAUCCAAAAUAGCUAUAUGAAUCAGCCACUCAAUUUACCUAGAGCUCGUUCCGAUACGGACUGAAAAGCCUUAAUCGAAGUUUAUCUAUCUGUUAAAGCACUGGAUAAGUUUCAAAAAGUGUUCUUUGGUCCGUGUUCAAACAGCCUUAUAGUCUAAAUUUACAGCAAAAAACAAAGCAUUUCCCAUAAUUGGAUUCAACUACAAGAAUCAAACAAUGCUAUAAUGCUGUAUAAUGAAUCAUGGCUAAAUGUAUUACUAUCAACAUGUUUGAUUUCGAUUCUACCGGCUCAGAAUUGCGUAAUUUACACAGAAACUACUCACAGUAGCUUCAUAUCAUACGCAAUCCUCAACUGGUGCGGUAAUUGAGAAAGAUUUUCAAGCAUGCCCUAUGAAAUUCUUACAAUUUAGCUCACCCUUGAGACGAGAAUCAACACUGCCAUUGGACAUGUAAGGGUAAACCAGAAGCCUUUCUGUUGGUGUCACACAAAACCCAUACAGUUUCAGGAGAUUCCGGUGCACUGCCAAGCUGAUCAUUUCGACUUCGGUCUGAAAUUGUAUCUCUCCCCCAAUGGCACUGCCAUCUUUAAGCCUCUUGACAGCUACAAAAGUUCCAUCUGAGAGAACUCCUUUGUAGACAUUUCCAAAACCACCCUUUCCCAGGAUUUGUUUGUUGCUGAAGUUGUUAGUGGCAAUCUGGAGUUCUCUUAAUAUGAACCUCUUCAAGUUUCCUAGGUAGACUUCUUCAUGAUGCCGGUCUGUACAAAGAAUUUAGGACAGAAAAAGAAGAAACUAUUAAUAUUGGAUCAAAUAUGUUAAUCUAUGCUGUACAAUUAGAUUCUUAUAUAAUGAUUUUAAGUUGGAAUUGAACCUUUAACAUCAAAGAAUGCUUGUUGAUUAUUCUUGUGCCUCCUCCACAGAACAAGUACAAAACCAAGAACUAUCAAGCAGAGGAACCCCAGACUCGAACCAAAGGCGAUGGCCAUUUUGUGAGUUUUUGGUCUGCCAGAUUGUAUAGCAGCAUCUAGAGAAGCAAAGAGAUUUCUGUGAACAUCUAUAUAAUAACUGUGCAGAAUAUAAGAAGGUAAAACAAGUGCGAAUGUGAAGGGGGGCCCUGGCGCAACAGUAAAAAGUUGUUGUCAUGUGACUAAGGUCACGGUUUAAGUCCUGGAAACAGACUCUUGUGUAAAAUUAGGGUAAGAGUGAGUACAAUAGACUAAGUGGUCGGACUCUUCGCUGCACUCUGGGCAUAGCGGGAGCUAUCUUCCAGGUUGCUAUUUUUUUAAAACAUGUGGGAAUGUGAUGUAAUGAAAAGAUUUUCAGGCAAACCCCUUCAAAUUCAGAAAUUAAAGGAUCUUACCCUCAGUGCUGUUUAAAUUCAUGGACAUAGGCAUGGGUGUCAUCCCAGGGCAGUGUGCUUCUUUUCCUGUAGCACAGACAAGGGGAUUUCCAACAAUACUAAAACAACACAAGGGAAUGAAGAAUUUUGAGGUUAGUACUGACUUUUCUGAAUUUUUCAGAUAGUGAGACUUACAUACUUGUGUGUAUUAGAUAAUGAAACAUUUAUAUCUACUUUAGCUCAGUUACACUGUUAGUUCUGUUAGUUAUAGUUUUUCAUUUCUGUUUCACAAUUAGUUAUUUUCUGUUAUAACCAAUUCGUGAUAGUUAUAUUGUAUAUGAUAGAUCAGUUUACUUAACAUAGACUACACAUUAUGUAUAAGGAGAACCAGUGUAACAAUUUCAGUUCUGUUGAAUAACAAUUCAUUGUUCACUCCCAUUGAAC